UUUUUUUUUGUUGGCUCAUACUAAAUGACAGGAUCAAUACAUGUGACCUUUUGAUUAGAAAGAGCAUGCACCUUGACUCCACUGUAUGUUCUCUAUGCAACAAUGAAGAUUAUGAAGAUAGGACUCAUCUUCUAUUCACUUGCCCAUAUAGUCAAGGAUUCUGGUGGAACAUUGGCUUUGAAUGGAGCUCUGAUUUGGAGAUCAACUCUAUGAUCAUUGAUGCUAAACACAAAUAUAAAACUGGCCACUUCAUGGAAAUCAUGAUUCUUGGAUGCUGGAGCAUAUGGAACCAAAGGAAUGGAUUGAUUUUUGAGGGGACACCUUGCUCAAUAAAUGAGUGUAAGAAUGACUUCAUUAGAUAUUUCAAGAUGACCAUGCUGAGGGCUAAACCCACUCUAAAAGAGGGCAUGUCCUCAUGGAUAGAUAAUAUUUAAUUUCUCAAUAAGUUCUUUCCUCCCCCCUUAGAUUGUACCUCCUUGGUCGUCCCCCCAACAACCACUAGUUUAUGUAAUUUGGACUCCUUUCUUUAUAAAUGAAAAUGACUCACAGUAGGGGGUUUACCCUAUUGUUCUUUGGUCAAAAAAAAGGGGGAAUAUUAUUCCACUCUUUCCUUUCCCUUCCCCUCUUUACUUAUCCUCCUAUGCCGACCCAUAUGGGGGUGCACCAGCCUCUUGUGGCUGGUGUGUUUCCCAUCUUGGCCCAUAAGGCCCAUAUCUUUUGUCGGGGGUGCCCGGAACCCCUUCCGGUGACCCGAUAAGUACCCGGUAACCCCCCAAACACUUCCGGUGUCCGAAUACCAUAGUCCUAUAUAUCAAUCUUUACCUCUAGACCAUUUUGAGACUCCUUGUCCUGUACGUUAUCUCAUCCGGGACUCCAAACAAGAUUCGGUUACCAAAUCACAUAACUCAUAUAAUACUAUAUCGUCAUCGAACGUUAAGCGUGCAGACCCUACGGGUUCGAGAACUAUGUAGACAUGAACGAGACACCUCUCCAGUCAAUAACCAAUAGCAGAACCUGGAUUCCCAUAUUGGCUCCUACAUAUUCUAUGAAGAUCUUUAUCUGUCGAACCGUUAUUACAACAUACGUAAUUCCCUUUGUCCAUCGGUAUGUUACUUGCCCGAGAUUCGAUAGUCGUUAUCUUCAUACCUAGUUCAAUUCGUUACCAGCAAGUUUCUUUCCUUGUUUCGUAAUACAUCACCUUGUGAUUAACUCUUUAAUCGUUUGCUUGCAAGCUUAUGAUGUGUAUUACCAAGAGGGCCCAGAGAUACCUCUCUGAUACUCGGAGUGAAAAAUCCUAAUCUCGAUCUAUGCCAACUCAACAAACACCUUCGGAGAUACCUGUAGAGCAUCUUUAUGAUCACCUAGUUAUGUUGUGACGUUUGAUAGCACAUAAGGAAUUCCUCCGGUAUUCGGGAGUUGCAUAAUCUCAUAGUCAAAGGAAUAUGUAUUUGACAUGAAGAAAUUAAUAGCAAUAAAACUGAAUGAUCAUUAUGCUAAGCUAACGGAUGGGUCUUGUCCAUCACAUAAUUCUCCUAAUGAUGUGAUCCUGUUAUCAAAUGAAAACUCAUGUCAAUGGUUAUGAAACCUUAACCAUCUUUGAUCGACGAACUAGUGUAGUAGAGGCUCACUAGGGAUAUGGUGUUUGUUUAUCUAUUCACACAUGUAUUAAGGUUACCGAUUAAUACAAUUCUAGCAUGAAUAAUAAACCUUUAUCAUGAAUUAGGAAAUAUAAAAUAACAACUUUAUUAUUGCCUCUAGGGCAUAUUUCCUUCACCUAAAUGCAACAGGGGGUAGUUUAGCAAGGGGUGGAGCAAGUGUAUGGAGUCAUUCAUGAAGUAACCUGAACAAUGAGUAAAGGUUCACUAUGUAAAAAGAAGAAGUCAUCGAAGACACACAACUACGUAUGAGGAGCCAAUGACACACAGUUCAUUAGAGUUCAGACAAGAGAAACAUCACAGACAUACUAGGCGACACGUAUGCAUGCGAUGGAGGUAUUCAACAAUGGGACAUAGCAAAGGCUACAUCAAUGUCAGGGAAAAACCUAUGGAGCGAGGAAUUUGCAAGUGGCGACGUAGGUUGCCCUCAAUAAAAUGAUCCUGCGGUCAGUGAAUAUUGUGAAGCAAAGGGAAAUACAAUUCUCCGGAUGGAUCUGAUCAUGAGAUCCUAAUGUUAGAUUUAGCAAAAUUAUUUAACCCGAAUAGAAGAGAGAUCAGAGUCCCAGAGUAUAGACGAUGAAUAAAAGAUCCUAAUACCAUCCAUUGGUGACGUGGGCCUAUAAACCACACAACCAUGUUAGUAAAAUAGUUUUUCAAAGACUAGACUCAACUUCGGCCAAGGAGUUAGAAAGUGGGGUUCCUAUAGGCGGUCGGCUCUGAUACCAACUUGUGACGCCGCCGACUCGACGGUACACUACUCAUACACGCAAAUGUGUACGAUCAAGAUCAGGGACUCACGGGAAGAUAUCACAACACAACUCUAGACACAAAUCAAAAUAAUACAAGCUUUAUAUUACAAGCUAGGGGACUCGAGGGCUCGAAUACAAAAGCUCAAAACACAAGAGUCAGCAGAAGCAACAAUAUCUGAGUACAGACAUAAGUUAAACAAGACUGCCUUAAGAAGGCUAGCACAAAAGCAACAACGAUUGUAGAGGCAAGGCCUCCUUCCUAGGACCUCCUAACUACUCCUGGUAUUCGACGGCCUCCAUGUAGUAGUAUCCGUUGGUGAUGGAAUCUGGCUCCAGGGAUCUACCAUCUGGUUGCAACAACCGGAAAGAAGGAAGAAGGGGGAAACGGCUAGCAAAGGAACCGUGAGUACUCAUCCAAAGUACUCGCAAGCAUCAGAUCUAUACUAAGUAUGCAUUGGUAUCAAACGAAGGUAUGUAUCUGUGGACUGACUGCAGAAUGCCGCAUAGAGGGGAAGGGCUAGUCUAUCAAAGACUAGCAUCUUCAAGUAGCUCCAAGCAUCUUGCAGCAUUCAGAAGAGUAUAGAAUAGCAGUUUAUAUUUAACAAACAUGUUGUAGAAUUAACACCCAAAGAUCCUUCCUCGAAUCCUUGUAAGAAAGCAAUCCCGGAGCUACAUAUCAAUCACAUAUCUCAAGUAUCCAUUUCUAGUUGUAAUAGAUAAGGAUACAAGUCUGAACGUCCAUUACCAUGGACAGGACUAUUUGAAUAGAUAGCCUUCCCUGCAGGGGUGCACCACAUUUCCCAACACGCUUGAUUACUCUAGCCGGGCACACUUUACUGGGUCAAUGCCCGACUCAGAAGAUCAACACGUCGCAGCCCUACCUAGGCUCAGUAGAGAGGUCCCCACUGGUCUACAUCCUAAGCACUCUAGUGUCUUGGGCCCAUUGCCCAUUGCACUCCGGGUCGUUGCGUGCAUGGCGAUACAGCCCACCACCUCUGGGGAACCGACUAGGCCAUGCCGCAAUGCUGAACUGGAAGUGUGACAAAUCUUCUGCCGAUACUACGACAUCGAGUGCCCAUAACUGUUCCCGCAUGGUGGUUAGUGCGCAUAGGCCAGUGUCCAACUCAGAACCAAUGCCCAAACCUGUUAGUGCAUUAUUAAAAGAAGUGAUGGCAGUCGAGACAAGUCUAGAGCUACCACCCCCUCCUAGGUGAUACCGCUAAACAGCGAGCCGCCACUGUAACAUCUCGUGGGUGCUCUCCAGGACCGCCCGACUUUCACAGGUAUCUCUCGCGGGUGCUCACUGCGCCCGCCCGACUUUAACAAGGGUCUGAAGUAAAUUCAGGGUACUUGUGUGUCCAAAACAUCAAUGGGGAAAAACCUAAGGAAUCGCCCUCGAUGGAUUCCACUCGAUUUAAUCAUCAAGGUGAACAUAGGAGGAGUCACUAUUGGGGAUAUUACCACUGGGCGUGAACCGGCCUACCUGGGCCGGGUCAACUUCAUUAGUAGUAUAAGCAGAUGAAGGCCCAAGGCCGGUAGUUGGUUUAGAAACUGUAGCUGUAAACCGGAAUGAUAUGUAAGCUUGUAUUGUAAGUUAGGAAUAGAGAGAGACCAACCGGGAUACGAAUAUGAACCGGUAUGGGACUCCACGGAUCGACGGGCGUCACCCAUGUAUAUAAGGGGACGACCCGGCAGCGGUUUAGGACAGACAACAACAACUCAAGCCUAGGCGAAGCUUGUUUGCUCCCUGGCCAUCGAGACCACAUCAAUUCCAUCACAACUAGACGUAGGCUUUUACCUUCAUCGAAGGGGCCGAACUAGUAUAAACCCUCGUGUCUUUGUGUCCGCUUUAACCCCUUCAAGUUAACCCGUAGCGAUGGCUCCACGACUAAGUCCUUUCACUAGGACAUCUCCCGUGACAAAUCCACGACAGUUGGCGCCCACCGUGGAACAUAGCUCACCUUCGGCCUUACUACACCUGAGCCAUUGGCUCUAUCUAUGUACAUAUUAUGAUAGUGUAUAUAUUAUCUUUGAUAUAAUAAAACCGGAGCCUCAGCUAAAGCGGGGUCUCUGUCUUUUCAUAUCAUGCGUGGUUACAUGGAGUGGUUCUGUUUUAAAGCGGCCUCCGGUUUACCCCUUGAAAUUUGCUUUUUAUAUCACUUGGGGCCUUGGUCGUGUCCGAACCAACGCGACACCUUUUGAUAGGCGAAAGCCACCAGAUCACUUGAGGACAUGGUCAAGUCUGAACUAGUCACGCCUCUUGAUCGGCCUAAGGCCACAAAAUCACUUGGGGGCUUGGUCGAACCCGAACCAUUGCCACGCCUUUUGAUUGGCAUAUAUGCCACGGUUUCAUUUGGGGACCUGGCUGACUUGAACCAUUGUCACUCCUAUUGGGGGCUUGGUCCUGUCCGACCAUGGUAACACCAUCUGAUCAGCUCAGUAUAGCAUGUUUUUUGCAAACGGUUUUUAUCAUUGCCUUUGCUUCCAUAUUUCUUUUAUGGCUACUUCUUAAUUCUUGUUGUGUUUCCUUUACACCAAACAAUACUUUUUUACCGGUUCAACUGAUGGAUUCGGUUCAUUUUUUUUAAAUCCGGAGAAAUAUGCCCGGUUUACUUUCCCUGUUAACAUCAUGAAGUAACAGGGGGGCUCAUAAUGGCCCAGCACGGUUUACACGGGAGUUGUUUUCUCCCCUUUGACGGUAAUGGUUUAUAAAACCUCUGUUUCAAGCCUGGCUAAGCCAACUUCAUGCCCAGCGAUGGCAGGUAUUUUGUAUCGCAUAUUUGGUUAUAUGCCUUAAAUACAUUGAUGAUAUAUAUAUAUCAAGGUCAUAAACCGGCUAGCGGUAUAACCGCCACCGCAGUUCAAGAUUUUCUGAUUGCAGGAAAUAUAAAUUGAGGAUUUCAAGCAAAAACAUCAGUACUUAUGCACGAAGGCAUAUUUAAAGUGGAAGUAUUGGCUAUUCUAUUACAAGGAAACGCAGUGCCCAAAUAAGAUCAUUGUUCUUCUGGCGGAUCAUAAUGAAGUAGCUAUUUAAACCGGCUUCCGGUUCAAGCCUGCUCAUCGUCUUGCGCCGCUUCAGAUUCUUCAUCUCUAUCCAUUGGCUGGAAAUCAAUAGUGGUCCAGUCGAUUCCCAUUAAAGCUUGAAAGACAGCCUCUUCAUGGAUUAGAGAAGACGGUUCAAUAUCAGGAGCGUAAGUAUGCUUACGGUUUGGAGGAAUCAGAUUCUCUUCUUCAAGAACUGGUGCAGCCACUCGCUUGUUCUGAUCAUUGUAUUGAGCUUGAUAAUGCGACAAGUCUGCCUCUUUAGCUAAUUGACAAGCCAGACGGCGCACUGCAUGGUUUAUCGCCCUUAAAUCCUCUUCAUUGAAUUCUGAGCCAUCUUCCUUCAAGCUGGGAUAGCCUUGAGCUGCUUCAACAGGAUCGAAAUCCGGCACCCAUGCUUUUGCCUGGAUCAAGGCAUUAAUUGCUCCGGUUCGAGCAGCAGAUUUCUUCAGCUCUUCAAUCCGGGCAGGAAGCAUUGACAACCUCUUCAGAGUAUCUUGGAUUAAAGUGGGUGCCGGAUUGUUAUGAGAUGCAGUGGUGAUGAUCCGCUGCGCUCCGGUAUACAGCUGUUCAAUUAAGGUGUAGGCAGCCUUCAGUUUCUUCCGAACAUCUGACCCUAAGUGAGCAAUGCGUGUGCCUGCAACAGUACAGGAACGAUCACAAACCGGAUCUAUUGUAAGAAGGAAGAAGUUGUCAAACAAACCAAAAGGAGCUUACCAAAGAUAGCAACGGUCAUGGCAUGCACUUGCCGCUUUACGGUCGUCAGCUCAUCUACCACCGGUUUAAGGGCAGCUUCAGCGUUUUCAGCUCUUUUUUAUUAAAGCGACCUUCUCAGUGGCCCAAUCAGCCCACUCCUUCUUGAAGCCCUCCUUCAACUGUUCCGUGAUGCUCAAGGCGCUGGUCAAUUCCUCCCUUGCUUUGUCAGUUUCGUCUUGUUGGGUUUUCAGAGUUUCUUGCAUAUCAGUAAUCCGGUCCUCUUUAACCCUCACUUCAGCCUGCAUACAAACAGUACUUGGCUUUAAACAAAACAGUACAGGAAUUUGAAGUACCAACCACAUAACAAGUUAUACGCUUGAUACUUGGGGGCUAAUGCACCUUCAAUUUUCAUCUAUUAUUAAAUCACAAAGUCCCAAGCUCAAUACAGGUAUUCAACUUGGCACUUGGGGGCUAAUGGCUAUUUGCUCAGUUAUUUUCUGAUGUUAGAAUCUUUAUGGGAGUCCCGGUUUAACUAUGCUAAGUUGAACCGGCCCUUGGGGGCUAUAUUGACGGAUUUCAAAGUACUCAGGAUUAUAUUCAAGUCCCGGUUUGAAGAAGGUUACAAACCGGCCCUUGGGGGCUAGGAGGAUUAAUACAGUGGCAGUAAGUAAAGAAAGAAGAAGCACAAGGAAGUUACCUCAAAUUUGUCUCUCACCAUCUUUACCAGGCCAGCUUCACAGUCACGACUAGUAUAUAGCCGGUUCAAGUAACCAGAAUGAAGAUCUUGGGCACUCAGGGCAGCAUAUGUUUCCAGUUCAACAUCCCAUUUGCCUUUGUUCUUGGCAGGAAAAUCUUCUUUCACUGUAUGCUUGGCUAAAGCGACAGGAUUCCCUGGUUCAAAGCGGCGUACACCGGUAAUUAAAACGUCAUCACUGGACUCACCGGUUUGCGUUGGCGCGGUCGGUUUAUCAGCAGGUUUAGAAGGACUGCGGGAUCUUUCAAUCCGGACGGAGCUGGCAGGCAGAUCAGCAGGGACUGAAGUAUUGAUAGGCCUUUCCUCAGGAAUAGCAUCAUCUUGCAUAGGAGGAUCAUUGGGGAUAUCCUCAUGAAUGAACGCUUCAAGAUCUGGUGCUUUAUCCUGUUCAGGGGCGACAUCUUCCUCAGCCGCUUUGUCCAGGCGGGCUUUCUUACUCGGUUUAGGUUUAGCCCUGAAAGAGAAACAAAGAGUCAAGAAACAGCAUAAGUUAUAACACAGUAUAUCAGAAGCAUAUGUUUAGCCUAACUUACCCAAGGACCGUUUUCAGUGGCGGCAGCUGAGUGGCCGAUGAUUCACCAGAGGAAGAAUGAGAAGUAACCUGAUAAUCGGAGUCGGACGGAUUAAGAGGUUGACGGAUGGAACCCGCUUUAGGAUAUAAAUUAAUAAAAAGGUCGGAGACCUCGGAGCGGCGUUUUCGAACCGGACUGUUUGGUAAACUGGCGGAGGUAACUACCUGGCCGCUGUGCCAGGUUGUGCGGCGAGCUUCAUGUUGCUGAGUCUUCAUAAGAAAUUUGGGAUCCAAAUAAGGAAGAGGAUGAGAAAAUUUAACUUUCCGGAUUGCCUGGCGAAGUUUUGGCAAAGGCAAAGGAUCUGAAUCGGAAGAAAGAAUAGUUACCUCAGCGACAUCAGCAUUACUGGCUUCAGCGUCGUCCUGACAAGUAUCAUCAUCAAUAAGGCAUGUAAAAAGCAAGCCUAGUGAAUCGAGUUCUACCUCAAGGUCCGAGUUACCCACAUCAUCAUCAACAGCCGGAUCAAAUGAGGCGGUGGUUUUCCUUUUGUGAGCCGGCUUCUUGAUAACCUUGGUCUUUGGCCGGGUUGACCGUUCUGUUUUCUCCGGUUUAUCUUGUGAAAGCUUCUUGCUCCAAAACGGAUUAUCCCCCUGGUUAAGCAGCAAUUGAUGUUAGACAGAGAUAGCAGUAACAGGUUCCGUAAAAAAUACAAGCAAAAUCUUACAGCUGGCGGCUUGUUGGUGGUGCAGAAGGGAAGCAGGCCGGUUUGAGCGCAGAGGUGCUCCGGUUCGUUCAACAUUUUCUUCACAGCAUCUGUGACUUCAGCAUCGGAGAGCUGGAUUUUAGUGUGUCGGAGUGGGUCAUCGACGUUAUCAGUAUACUUGCACAUCAGACCGGACCACCGGCUGAGGGGCAGUACACUCCACGAUAUCCAACAGCGUGCAAGAUCUAUUCCUGUUAAACCGUUGGCCAUGAAGGCUCGGAGCUUGGACAGUUGCGGAGCAUAUUUGCUUCUCUCCUUGGCACUUAAUCUUUGUGGAAAGGGGUGAGUGUUGCUGAGCCGCGCCGGACAAAAUCCAGGCAAGGGAUUUUCAUUGUCAGGGGAGGUGUCUUUGCAGUAGAACCAUGUUGCAUUCCACUCCUUGGGGUGACUGUGUAGUUUGACGUGGGGAUAAGUGAUCUCUUUUCUUUUCUGAAUUGCCAUACCACCCAAUUCGGUAUUGGGGCCGUCAGUGAAUUCAGUGCGGCGUUUUAAGUGGAAGCAGUCUCCAAACAAUUCAACUAAAGGCUCCUCUUGAAGGUAUACCUCAGAGAGCACUUGGAAAUGACAUAGGUUGGUAACAGAAUUGGGGCCAAUAUCUUGCGGGCGGAGCUGAAAAUUGGCUAAUACAUCCCGGUAAAAUUUAGAACCGGGUGGCUUGAAGCCCCGGGCUAAAUGAUCUGCAAAGAUCACAACCUCUCCCUCUUGAGGUGUGGGAGGACAUUCAUUUCCAGGAACCCUCCAGUGGAUUGUAUCUUUGCUGUCUAAAGCGCCGAUCAAGACUAAAUCGUCCAGCUGAGUUUCUGUGACGCGAGAAGGAACCCAAUUGCACUCAUAUACUUGUUUGGCCAUGGUGAGAUCUACAAGAAAUAGGCGAUUCUGGUUCAAGAAUAUGUUGGAUAAAAGAAGGUGCUGGUCUGAACAAUGUUAAACCGGAGGCAGUAUGUUUAAACCGGAUUUCUAUAAGGUGGCAUCAUAUGGCUAAUGAGUUCUGGCGGCUCAACAAGGGGACUAAUGGUAUAUGCCGGUUUAUUAACUUUUUCUAUAUUGAGUUAAACCGCCAGAUCUAAACAUUGAAAGCAAUCAAGGUUGCGGAUGGCUAAGUAUGCAGAAACAGGUUUCGCAAAGUCUUAUUGCAGCAAUGGAUCUGAAGCAAGUUCAGAAAAAUAGAAAAUAUUCAAAAAAGGUAAAGACAGGACGGAAGUGAACCAAUGGGCAGAUAUGUCGAUGAGAUCUAUGGGCUUAAGCGUACAGGCGGAUACUAAAAGGCUACUACUAAUCAGAGCAGGGAUUCACAGAUGUAUCCAGGAGUCUGGGUACGAGCAUGAACAAACGACGAACGCAGCAAGAACAGGAAACCCUAAGAACAGAUCUAUGUCAAGAAGAAUAGAAGGCUUAUUGGAAACGAAUAAGACGCGGAAGGCGACCGCAGUGCUCUGGUGCGUUCAGGUCGAUGCAGCAGCCCAAGACGAUGGAGAGGUCGACGGCGGCGGCGGAGCUCCGAGGUUGGCGACGCGAGGAAGACGAAGAGAAAGAGACGAAGAGGAGAAAAGGAAAUGACCCUUCGGUCCUAUUUAUAAGGCAACAGAUGUGGGUCAGGCGCGCGAAUCCAGGAGCCAAAAUUUCGGAAGUGGAGCUGAUGACUUGGGUAUCGCAGAUCUAUUAAUGAAAGAAGGCGUCAUAAGUGUUAACUUCGUGAUGACGUCAUGCCGGUUUACAGCAACCAGAAAUGAUGACGACAUGGCGGAUUAUCAAUUACCAGAAGAUGUCGAAGACAAAGAUUUGGUGAAGGAUUGACAUGAACCAGUUCAAAUCAAUCUGGGGCCUAAUGUUGGGGAUAUUACCACUGGGCGUGAACCGGCCUACCUGAGCCGGGUUAACUUCAUUAGUAGUAUAAGCAGAUGAAGGCCCAAGGCCUGUAGUCGGUUUAGAAACUGUAGCCGUAAACUGGCAUGAUAUGUAAGCUUGUAUUGUAAGUUAGGAAUAGAGAGAGACCAACCGGGAUACGAAUAUGAACCGGUAUGGGACUCCACUGACCGACGGGCGUCACCCAUGUAUAUAAGGGGACGACCCGGCGGCGGUUUAGGACAGACAACAACAACUCAAGCCUAGGCGAAGCUUGUUUGCUCCCUGGCCAUCGAGACCACAUCAAUUCCAUCACAACUAGACGUAGGCUUUUACCUUCAUCGAAGGGGCCGAACUAGUAUAAACCCUCGUGUCUUUGUGUCCGCUUUAACCCCUUCAAGUUAACCCGUAGCGAUGGCUCCACGACUAAGUCCUUUCACUAGGACAUCUGCCGUGACAAAUCCACGACAGUCACCCUCGAGGUUCACACUUGAGGGGUUGCAUGACUGAGUCGUAUCGGUAGUGGUGAAGGAGGAAUCACCCUCCGUAAUCCAUGGCCGAUUAGCUACACUACAGAGUUAUCAUCAGGAGUGCUAUUCGAGUUAUCACCCUCGGCACGUGAUAUUAGCUCUGUAGAGUCGUACAACUAAAGGGGGUGAGGUGAUGCGCGAUGUUGGGCCCUGGACGUCGAUCACGUUGAUCGAGUCAUCGGUCAACAAGUCGAGGCAACUGGGACAGGGAGAGUGGUCAUUGAUAGAUCACCAACCAACCUAUACUAAACAGUUUAGGAUAAGUAGGUAAGGUGCAAUGAGCAGGUUACAAAAGCACGGUAUGCAUUAGGAUAGGAGCAAGCAAUAACAGUAGCAAAAUCUAGUGCAAGCAUGAGAGAGAAUGGAAUGGGCGAUAUCGGAGUGAUCAAGGGGGGUUUGCCUGCUUGGAAGCUCUGCUGUAAAGGGAGAAGGGUCGUCGACGACGUAGUCGAUACCAGAGAAGAAGGGGGAAGAAACAGUAAAUACAAAGAACACAUAUGCAUGACAUGACUACAGGCAGAGCUAGGGGUGUUCUAACACAGUGUUACACAACACCGGCGAAGGGGGAAAACAUCCGGAAAUGUUUUCCCGAAGUUUGGCAUUUUCGGACAGAUGAAAUAGAGGGGGCGCUUCCAUGUUUGCUAUGUUAGGGAUGUGUGGAGGACGAACGGACUGCAGUUCGGAUUCGUCACAUUUUUCUGAGCAACUUUCAUGUAUAAAACUUUUUCAUCCGAGUUAUGAAUUAAUUUUUAUGAAUUUCUAAAGUUUUAGCAAUAUCCUGAAAAUCCCUGAAAUUCUGCCAAGUCUGAAAAUUCAUCAGUUAUAAACAUCACCUCGCUAUUUUCAAAAGGCUACAACUAUUGUGCUGUGCAUCCUAUGGGUUAGUGCCUUAAAUCAAUACUGAUCACUCUUCUGUGAUCUACAAGAUAGUAUCAAUUGGAUCUCUAUUAGAGUCCAUUAGCUUGCUCAAAACUUUGUUUGAGAAGUGCCACUUGAUAUUGAUUCCAGAAACUGUUAUGAUUUACAAACUUUGUUGGAUGAUUGCCAUUGAUCUAUAGUUCUAAUGGAGAUGCUUCCUAUAUGUGUUCGGUACUACAACAAGAGUACUACCAUGCCAUGCCUUUAUAUGGCAUGACAGAUCCCUGUAGCUUGUUCAUCAGCGGCUCUAAAGUAUCUAUUACAAUAAGGUUGUUUGUUUUUGUUCUCUGUUAAUAGAACAUAGCACUUUGCGAUUUCAUAGGAUUUAGUCCAUGCAUCAAAUGGAUUUGGUCCAAUGGAAACAUUUGAGCCUUGGCAAGUGUACUACCAGCCCAUAUUAUUUUUACUCGUGUUACAAUUGUUUAACAGCUGAUUAGGGCCUGUCUAGGGGGUUAGUCAGUGUAGAAUUACAAAAGCCAGCUAGCAGCUACAGCAGCUAGCAUGCUAAUAUAGGCAAAGCAGCAGCAGCAGCAGUACAGCAGCGGCUGUGCGGAGCAGGGCCGCGGACGUAUGACACAGUGCAGCGGGCGGGCGCGGCCGGUCAAGCGCGAGCCGGGAGGUGCGGGGCUAGCGUACGGGCGGCAGCGGUGAGUUGCAGGCGAUGGCCGCUGCAGAACCAACAACAGGGGGUGUGCGAGCCGGCAGAAGGUGGGCACAGGGUUGCAGCAGUACACAUGAGUAGCAGGUGCUACCUCUUGAACAUGCGUUGGGUUUCCCUUGAAGAGGAAAGGGUGAUGCAGCAAAGUAGCGUAAGUAUUUUCCUCAGUUUUUGAGAACCAAGGUAUCAAUCCAGUAGGAGGCUACACUCAAAUCCCUCGUACCUACACAAACAAAUAAGAACCUUGCAACCAACGGGAUAAAGGGGUUGUCAAUCCCUUCACGGCCACUUGCAAAAGUGAGAUCUGAUAGAGAUAAUAAGAUAAAUAUUUUUGGUGUUUUUAUGAUAUAGAUUGGAAAGUAAAGAUUGCAAAAUAAAAUAGAUCAGAAACUUAUAUGAUGGAAAAUAGACCUGGGGGCCAUAGGUUUCACUAGUGGCUUCUCUCAAGAUAGCAUAAGUAUUACGGUGGGUGAACAAAUUACUGUCGAGCAAUUGAUAGACAAGUGCAUAAUUAUGAGAAUAUCUAGGCAUGAACAUGUAUAUAGGCAUCACGUCCGCGACAAUUAGAUCAAAACGAUUAUGCAUCUACUACUAUUACUCCACACAUCGACUGCUAUCCAGCAUGCAUCUAGAGUAUUAAGUUCAUAAGAACAGAGUAAUGCAUUAGGCAAGAUGUCAUGAUGUAGAGGGAUAAACUCAAGCAAUAUGAUAUAAACCCCAUCUUUUUAUCCUCGAUGGCAACAAUACAAUACGUGCCUUGCUGCCCCUGCUAUCACUAGGAAAGGACACCGCAAGAUUGAACCCAAAGCUAGGCACUUCUCCCAUUGCAAGAAAGAUCAAUCUAGUAGGCCAAACCAAACUGAUAAUUUGAAUAGACUUGCAAAUAUAACAAAUCAUACAAAAAAGAAUUCAGAUGAGAUUCAAAUAUUGUUCAUAGAUAACCUUGAUCAUAAACCCACAAUUCAUCGGAUCUCGACAAAUACAUCGCAAAAAGAAUUACAUAGGAUAGAUCUCCAAGAAGAUUGAGAAGAACUUUGUAUUGAGAUCCAAAGAGAGAGAAGAAGCCAUCUAGCUAAUAAGUAUGGACCCGAAGGUCUGUGGUAAACUACUCACACUUCAUCAGAGAGGCUACGGUGUUGAUGUAGAAGCCCUCCAUGAUCGACUCCCCCUCCGGCGGAUCGCCGGAAAAGGCCCCAAGAUGGGAUCUCACGGGUACAUAAGGUUGAGGCGGUGGAAAUAGGGUUUUGUGGUGCUCCUGGAUGUUUUCAAGGUAUAUUAAUAUACAUAGGCGAAGUAAGUCGGUCAGGGGAGCCAUGAGGGGCCCAGAGGGUGGGGGCGCGCCUACCCCCUAGGCGCGCCUCCCUGCCUCAUGGCCGCCUCGUUUCUUUCUUGACGUCCACUCCAAGUCUCCUGGAUUGCGUUUGUUCCAAAAAUAACUCUCCCGAAGGUUUCAUUCCGUUUGGACUCCGUUUGAUAUUCCUUUUCUGCGAAACAUUGAAAUAGGGAAAAAACAACAAUUUGGGCUGGGCCUCCGGUUAAUAGGUUAGUCCCAAAAAUAAUACAAAAUUGUAUAGUAAAGCCCAUUAAACAUCCAAAACAGAUAAUAUAAUAGCAUGGAACAAUCAAAAAUUAUAGAUAGGUUGGAGACGUAUCAGCAGGCGCGCGUGGCUGCAGGCACGAGCGGCCGAGGGCAGAGUAGGGCAUGCGCGCACGCAGACGUGGUCGGGCGGAGGCCGGUGCGGGGCUCGGAAAUCUACGAUGUUCGGGACGAGGGGAGAGGAGAAAGAGGGAGUGGCAGGGCUCACCGCGAGGCACACGAAGGCCGUCAAAAGCUUAGGAGGACAGAGGACGGAUCGGAGUCGCGCAGCCGUAGUGGUCCGAGCAGGACGACGACGAUGUUCCAGCGCUGCAGGGCUCCCUGUCUCCAACGGGUUGCAUGAUAACCCACAAGCGUAGGGGAUAAUUGUAGCCUCUUUCGAUAAGUAAGAGUGUCGAACCCCACGAGGAGCUAAAGGUAGAACAAAUAUUCUCUCAAGUCCUAUCUACCACUGAUACGACUCUACGCACGCUUAGUGUUUGCUUUACCUAAAACAAGUAUGAAACUAGAAGUACUUUGCAGGUGUUGUUGGAUAAGUUUGCAAGAUAAUAAAGAGCACGUAAAUAUAAACUAGGGGCUGUUUAGAUAAAGAAGCAAUAAAGUAAAUUUAGCGAGUGUGGAAAAGGUGGUGGUAGGAGUUGUGAAAUUGUCCCUAAGCAAUUGACUACUUUACUAGACCGAUAGCAAGUUUUAUGUGGGAGAGGUAUAAGCUAACAUACUUUCUCUUCUUGGAUCAUAUGCACUUAUGAUUGGAACUCUAGCAAGCAUCUGCAACUACUAAAGAUCAUUAAGGUAAAACCCAACCAUAGCAUUAAAGCAUCAAGUCCCCUUUAUCCGAUACGACACAACCCCCUUACUCAGGUUUAUGCUUCUGUCACUCAAGCAACCCAUUAUAAGCGAAUCAUGAACAUAUUGCAACACCCUACAGCGGGAAUCCCUCAUGCUUGUGUGACAUGGAGGGCACAAUAGGACAGCAACAAAACCACAAGCAAAUUAAACCAAUCAUAGCAAUUCAUCAAUCACCAGCAGGACAACAAAAAUCUACUCAGACAUCAUAGGAUGGCAACACAUCAUUGGAUAAUAAUAUGAAGCAUAAAGCACCAUGUUCAAGUAGAGGGUACAGUGGGUUGUGGGAGAGUGGACCGCUGAAUAUAGAUGGGGGAAGGUGAUGGAGAUGUUGGUGAAGAUGGUGGAGGUGUUGGUGUAGAUCGCGGUGAUGAUGAUGGCCCCCGGCGGUGUUCCGGUGCCACUGGAAGCAAGGGGGAGAGAGCCCCCCUUCUUCCUCUUCUUCCUUGACCUUCUCCCUAGAUGGGAGAAGGGUUUCCCCUCUAGUCCAUGGCCUCCAUGGCUUGGGAGGGGCGAGAGCCCCUCCGAGAUUGCAUCUGUCUCUCUGUCUCUCUCUGUUUCUGCGCUCUCGUAUUCUGCCCUUUCACCGUUUCUUUUAUAUCCGGAGAUCCAUAACUCUGAUUGGAUUCAAACCUUCGCCUAGAUUUUUCUCCGAAAAUUAGCUUUCUUGCGGCCAAAGAAGAGCAGUAACCGCCUUACGAGGGGCCCAUGAAGGUCAAGGGCGCACCCGGUAUUGGCAAGCGCGCCCCUGCCUCGUGGCCACCUCGAGAACCGUCUCGCAUUGAUUUUACUUCCCAAAAAUCAUAAAUAUUCCAAAAAUAAGCUCCAUCCGUUUUUAUCCCAUUUGGACUCCGUUUGAUAUUGGUUUCUGCGAAACAUAAAACAUGCAAUAAACAGGAACUAGCACUGGGCACUGGAUCAAUAUGUUAGUCCCAAAAUAAUAUAAAAAGUUGCCAAAAGUAUAUGAAAGUUGAAGAAUAUUGGCAUGGAACAAUCAAAAAUUAUAGAUACAACAGAGAUGUAUCAGCACCCCCAAGCUUAAUUCCUGCUCGUCCUCGAGUAGGUAAAUGAUAAAAAAGGGAAUUUUUGAUGUGGAAUGCUACCUAGCAUAAUCUUGAUCAUAUGUCUAAUCAUGGCAUGAAUAUUAAGACACGAAUGAUUCAAAGCAAUAGUCUAUCAUUUGACAUAAAAACGAUAAUACUUCGAGCGUACUAAUAAAGCAAUCAGGUCUUUUGAAAACAACAUGGCCAAAGAAAGUUAUCCGUACAAAAUCAUAUAGUCUGGCUAUGCUCCAUCUUCAUCACACAAAAUAUUCAAAUCAUGCACAACCCCGGUGACAAGCCAAGCAAUUGUUUCAUACUUUUGAUGUUCUCAAACCUUUUCAACUUUCACGCAAUACAUGAGCGUGAGCCAUGGAUAUAGCACUAUGGGUGGAAUAGAGUAUGAUGGUGGAGGUUGUGUGGAGAAUACAAAAAAGGAGAAAGUCUCACAUCGACGCAGCUGAUCAACGGGCUAUGGAGAUGCCCAUCAAUUGAUGUCAAUGCGAGGAGUAGGGAUUGCCAUGCAAUGGAUGCACUAAGAGCUAUAAGUGUAUUAAAGCUCAAACUAAAACUAAGUGGGUGUGCAUCCAACUUGCCUGCUCAUGAAGACCUCGGGCAUUUGAGAAAGCCCAUCAUCGGAAUAUACAAGCCAAGUUCUAUAAUGAAAAUUCCCACUAGGAUAUGAAAGUGAAAGCAUAGGAGACUCUCUAUAUGAAGAACAUGGUGCUACUUUGAAGCACAAGUGUGGUAAAAGGAUAGUAACAUUGCCCCUUUUCUUUCUUUCUUUUUCUUUUUUUUCUUUUUUUGGGGCAGGCUUCUUUUGCCCCCUUUUUUAUUUAGGAUUCUUUGGCCUCUCUUUGGGGGGGGGGCAAUGCUCUAUAAUGAUGAUCAUCACACUUUUAUUUACUUACAACUCAAUAUUACAACUCGAUACUAGAACAAGAUAUGACUCUAUAUGAAUGCCUCCAGCGGUGUACCGGGAUAUGCAAUGAUCUAGCAUAGCAAAGAUAUCAAAAAAACGGACAAGCCAUGAAAACAUCAUGCUAGCUAUGUUACGAUCAUGCAAAGCAAUAUGACAAUGAAUGCUCAAGUCAUGUAUAUGAGGAUGAUGGAAGUUGCAUGGCAAAAUAUCUCGGAAUGGCUAUGGAAUGCCAUGAUAGGUAGGUAUGGUGGCUGUUUUGAGGAAGAUAUAAGGAGGCUUAUGUGUGAUAGAGCGUAUCAUAUCACGGGGUUUGGAUGCACCGGCGAAGUUUGCACCAACUCUCAAGGUGAGAAAGGGCAAUGCACGGUACUGAAGAGGCUAGCAAUGAUGGAAGGGUGAGAGUGCGUAUAAUCCAUGGACUCAACAUUAGUCAUAAAUAACUCACAUACUUAUUGCAAAAAUAUAUUAGUCAUCGAAACAAAGUACUACGCACAUGCUCCUAGGGGGAUAGAUUGGUAGGAAAAGACCAUUGCUCGUCCCCGACCGCCACUCAUAAGGAAGACAAUUAAUUAAUACCUCAUGCUCCAACUUCGUUACAUAACGGUUCACCAUACGUGCAUGCUACGGGAAUCACAAACCUCAACACAAGUACUUAUACAAUCCACAACUACCCACUAGCAUGACUCUAAUAUUAUAUCGCAAAACUAUUGCAAGGAAUCAAACAUAUCAUAUUCAGCGAUCUACAAGUUUAUGUAGGAUUUUAUGACUAACCAUGUGAAUGACCAAUUCAUGUCAUCUCUCUAAAUUGAUAUAAGUGAAGCAAGAGAGUUUAAUUAUUUCUACAAAAGAUAUGCCCAUGCUCUAUCAAAUAUAAGUGAAGCAAAAGAGCAUUCUACAAAUGGCGGUUUUCUCUAUGAAGAGAAACAGGCAAUCCAAACUUCAAAUGAUAUAAGUGAAGCACAUGAAGCAUUCUAUAAAGUCGUACCUAAAAGAUUUAAGUGAAGUGCAAAGAGCAUUCUAUAAAUCAACCAAGGACAAUCUCAUACCACCAUGGUGCAUAAAAGAAAAGUCAAAACUAAAUGCAAAAGACGCUCCAAGACUUGCACAUAUCGCAUGAACGAAACGAAUACGAAAACAUACUGAUACUUGUUGAAGAAAGAGGGGAUGCCAUCCGGGGCAUCCCCAAGCUUAGACUCUUGAGUCUCCUUGAAUAUUUACUUGGGUUGCCUUGGCCAUCCCCAAGCUUGAGCUCUUGCCUCUCUUCCUUUUCCUCAUAUCGAGACCUCCUCGAUCAAACACUUCAUCCACACAAAACUUCAACAGAAAACUCGGUAAGAUCCGUUAGUAUAAUAAAGCAAAUCACUACUCUAGGUACUGUUGCAAACCAAUUCAUAUUUUGUUUAUGCAUUGUGUCUACUGUAAUAUAACUUUUUCAUGGCUUAUUCCACUGAUAGAAAUCGAUAGUUUCAUCAAAACAAGCAAACUAUGCAUCAAAAACAGAAUCUGUCAAACACAGAACAGUCUGUAGCAAUCUGAACAUUCACCAUAAUUCUGUUACCCCAAAAAUUCUACCAAAAUUAGGAAAAAUAAAGAACUUGUACAGUAAUACAGUUAAAAAAGAAUGAACCGUUUGACAUUCCAGUAAAAAACGUAAAAUCGCGCACUACACCCAAAGUUUCUGUCCUGCACCGUACAAACCAACAAGCAUUGUAAACAUCCUAAAGGCAAAUCUUAGCACAUUAUUUUUAUAAUACAAUGGAAUUGUACAAGGGGAUAAUUAUUUUUGUUGAAAAGUUUCUGUAAUUAAGAUUCAAAAAGUUUCUAUGAGCAUGAACAAAGUUCAAGGAGCUCUCCCACUUCAACAAUGCUCGUCUUUCUCACUUUCGCUUUCCUUUUUGGAAAGUUUUGGGUUCCCCUCUUUAUUUUUUUGUUUUUAAACUAUAUAAAAGCACACAACAUAAAUAAAUGACUCUCUAAAACUUCCGGGUUGUCUCCCUGGCAGCGCUUUCUUUAAAGCCAUUAAGCUAGGCAUAAAGUGCUCAAGUAAUGAAUCCACCCGGAUCCCAAGGUAUAUCAAAGCCAAUUUUAAUUAACAAUGAUUUGUAAUUUAGUAGUGAGCACAAAGUAACAUAUAUCAUGCAACAACAAAGUCUAACUCUCUUCCUAUGCAUCGGCAUGUCAUAAAAGAACAAUUCAUGCACACAUAGUAAAGGCCAAUACAUAGUAUAAGCAGUUUCUUGCAAUGUCAUCGUGUGGGAAACAUAGAGAGGUGGAGAUAUAGCUCCUUUCUCAUAAUAGUUGCAAGUAGGAGCAGAAAGCACAUGCAUAUUAUAUCUAUCAAAAUCAUCAUGUGUAGUAGUAAAACGCAACCCAUCAAUAUAAUCCUUGAUAAGAACAAACUUCUCUGAUAUAGUGUAGUUUGAAGAAUUCAAAAAGAUAAUAGGACUAUCAUGUGUGGGUGCAAUAGCAACAAUUUCAUGUUUAACAUAAGGAACUAUAGCAAGUUCAUCUCCAUAAUCAUAAUUCAUAUUGGCAUCUUAGCCACAAUCGUAGCAAGCAUCAUCAAAAAGGGAUAUUUCAAAUGAAUUAAAGGGAUCAUAGCAAUCAUCCUUCGGUAAGCAUGAAGGGGAAUUAAACAAUGUAUGAGUUGAAUAGUUACUCUCAUUAGAAGGUGGGCAAGGGUAGCUAAUCCGCUCUUCCUCCUUUUGUUCUUCGCUCUCCUCAUCAUCUUUUUCAUCCAAUGAGCUCACAGUUUCAUCAAUUUCUUCUUUGCUUCCUGCAAAAUAUUAGUCUCUUCUUGGACAGCGGAGACUUUCUCAAUAAAUGCAUCAAUAUCGGAAUUGUAUUCAUAAUUUUCAUAGCAAUAUCUAAGUAUAGCAAAAUUUUCAGGUCUAUAAACCGAAUCAUCAAAAUCUUCAAACUCUUUAAACAUAGAUUCAAUCUCAUAGGCACCCAUAAAAGCAAUGAAUUCUUUUAUUUGUUCCACAUCAUAGUAAUCAUAGAUACCAUUAGCAUAAGAAGCCAAGGUUUUAUCAUCAUUGAAUUUGCAUGAAAAGGGAAGGUGUGGAGCCUUCAUCCUAGAGCAACAAGUAUAAUCAUGUCUCAAACAUAGAUCCCGAGCAUACCAACGCAACAUAUAAAUUUGAUCCCAUAAUAGUUUCCCUUUUGUGUCAAGUGAUAAUCCCUAAAGUAUUCACGUUGAUCCAACGUGUCUCCCAUAACAUAAUUGAAUGGGGUUUUCUCAGGAUUAUCAAAGUAGUACAUAAUUUCUUCACAUAAUGAGCAUCGAGGGUUUUAGGAGGUUCCACAUCUCCAUGAGUGGCAAGUACACCUAAUUUUUUUUGGUAUUUCGUGUUCCAUAUCCAUAACUAAAGAUAGAGAACAACUUAGAAUAGCAAAUAAAAAUUACUUAGUGAUAAAGCAAACAAGCACACACGAGAAUAUUCACCCCACGCUAUGACUCCCCGACAACGGCGCCAGAAAAAGGUCUUGAUAACCCACAAGUGCAGGGAUUACUGUAGCUUAAUUAUCUGGGCGUUACAUUCAUUAAAACCUCAACAAUCUUUUCACGGAAAUCAGAUAAUAUAGCAGUCAUACAUCUUUGAAAGAUAGGAGGUGCAUUGCAUAAACCAAAAGGCAUGAGUCUAUAAGCAUAAGUUCCAAAAGGACAAGUAAAGGUGGUUUUCUCUUGAUUAGGUUGUGAAACACGUAUUUGAGAAAAAACAGAGUAUCCAUCAAGAAAACAAAAAUGUGUAUGCUUAGACAAUAUUUCUAGCAUUUGAUCAAUAAAAGGCAGAGGGUAAUGAUCUUUUCUAGUAGAUUUAUUUAAUUUUCUAAAAUCAAUUACCAUUCUAUAGCCAGUAACAAUUCUUUGUGGAAUAAGUUCAUUUUUAUCAUUAGGAACAACCGUAAUACCUCCUUUCUUAGGGACACAAUGAACAGGACUUACCCAUCUACUAUCAGCUAUAGGAUAGAUUAUACGUGCUUCCAGAAGCUUUACUAUUCAGUUCUUACCACUUCUUUCAUCUUAGGUUCAAACAUCGUUGGUGAUCAACAUAGGUUUAGCAUCAGGUUCCAUAUUAAUCUUGUGCUGACAUAGAGUGGGACUAAUGCCCUUAAGAUCAUCAAGAGUAUAUCCAAUAGCAGCACGGUGCUUCUUUAGAAUUUUCAAUAAUCUUUCUUCUUCAUGUUCUGAAAGGUUAGCACUAAUAGUAACAGGAUAUAUCUUUUUUUCAUCGAGUUAAGCAUAUUUUCAAAGUGUGUGGCAAUUGUUUUAAUUCAAACACAGGAUCAACUUUAGGUGGAGGAGGACCUCCUAGAGUUUUGAUAGGCAAAUUGUGUUUAAGCAGAGGUUGUUGUUCAAAUAAUAUUUUGUCUAUUUCAUUUCUUUCACGCAAGUGCAUAUCAUUUUCAUGGUCUAGCAAAUAUUUUUCUAAAGGAUCAGUAGGAGGCAUAGCAAUAGAAGAAAGACCAGUUAUUUCAUCCUUACUAGGAAAUUCUUUAUUAUGAGGUUGUCUACUAAACUUGGAGAAAUUAAACUCAUGAGACUCAUCACAAAAGCUAACACUAGCAGUUUGUUUAUGGCAAUCUAUAGUGGAAUUAACAAUGUUCAAGAAAGGUCUACUAAAGAUUAUGGGACAAAAUCAUCUUGUGGGGAACCAAGAACUAGAAAAUGAGUAAGGUCUACCAAAGAUGGUGUCUCUAUUAGCAAGUUUAAUAGUAACAUCUAUGUCUUCUAUUUCAGCGGAUGCUAUAUUAUUCCUAAUUUCUUGGUAUAAGGUAAAAGGAAUAGCACUCACACUAGCACCUAAGCCACGUAAUCCAUGAUAACAAUGAUCUCCUAUUUUAACUGAGACAACAGGCAUGCCAACAACAGGUCUAUGUUUAUCUUUUUCAUCGGGUUUGGCAAUUCUAGCAGCUUCAUCACAGAAGUAAAUAACAUGCCCAUCAAUAUUUUCUACCAGGAGAUCUUUAACCAUAGCAAUACUAGGUUGUACUUUAGUUUACUCAGAGGGUUUAGGUUAUUUAAUAUUACUUUUGCUAAUCGCAGUUGAUACCUUAGCAUGUUCCUUUAUCCUACUAGGUAAAGGUGGUUUCUCAAUAUAAGCAGUAGGUACGACUGGAUCAACAUUGUAAAUAAUAGUUUCAUAUUUAGAUUUAACCAGUUCUUUAAUUUCUUCUUUAAUAGGGGGAUGAUAUUUAAACCACUUCUCCUUAGGGAGACCAACAUGAGUAGCAAAUGAUUCACAAAAAGAGGCUACCAUCUCAGAGUCAAGUCUGUAUUUAGUGCAAAACUUAUGAAAAGCAUCGGUAUUCAUCAAAGAUUUAACACAAUCAAACUCAAGCUUAAUACCCGACUCUUUACCUUCGUCGAGUUCCCAAUCUUUAGAGUUGCAUUUAAUUCUUUCUAAAAGAUCCCAAUCUUCAGAGUUGCAUUUAAUUCUUUCUAAAAGAUCCCAAUCUUCAGAGUUUCAUCUUUACCUUUGUCGAGUUCCCAAUCGUCAGAGUUGAGUUUAAUUCUUUCUAAUGCUUUAUGAGGUUGUCUACUAAACUUGAUGAACUAGAUGCAUAGGAUAAUUUUUUUUGUGAAAUUCCAAUUUCAAUCGAUUCCACUUCGAAGAUCCAAUAUCAUCGCAUAGCCUAUACCAUGCCAAUGCUUUUCCCUUCACAGAUAAAGGGAAAACCUUCUUCUUAGCUUCAUCUCUGGAUAAACCUACAAGCUUAAAUAAUCCACAAAUUUCAUCCACAUAGAUCAAGUGCAUAUCAGGAUGUUCUAUUCCAUCUCCUGCAUAGGGAUUAGCUAGCAGUUGUUCUAUCAUACCCGAAGGAAUUUCAUAACCAAUAUUUUCAAUAGGUGCAGUAGGUUGAGGGGCAGCUAAUUUUUCUUCUGAUUGAGGUAAAUAUACCCCGAACAAACCCCUCAAUAGAUGGUUUUCCAUAGUAGCAAGUGACAAUAAAUUUUAGCACAUAAUAGUAAUUUUUCCUUACCAAUUUCCACUUACCAAGAGCGCUUCACUCCCCGACAAUGGUGCCAGAAAAGAGUCUUGACGACCCACAAAUAUAGGGGAUCAAUCAUAGUCCUUUUGAUAAGUAAGAGUGUCGAACCAAACGAGGAGAAGAAGGAAAUGACAAGUGGUUUUCAGCAAGGUAUUUUCUACAAGCACUGAAAUAAUCGGUAACAGGUAGUUUCGGAGCAAGAUAAUUUGUAACAGACAAGUAACGGUAAUGGUAAAUAAAGUGCAGCAAGGUAGCCCAAUCCUUUCGUGCCAAAUGACAAGCCAAAACGGUCUCUUAUAAUAAGCAAAGCGUUCUUCAGGGCACACGGGAAUUUCAUCUAGUUACUUUCAUCAUGUUGGUUUGAUUCACGUUCGCUACUUUGAUAAUUUGAUAUGUGGGUGGUCCGGUGCUUGGGUGUUGUUCUUACUUGAACAAACCUCCCACUUAUAAUUAACCCCCUCGCAAGCAUCCGCAACUACAAGAAAAGUAUUAAGAUAAAAUCUAACCAUAGCAUUAAACAUUUGGAUCAAAAUCGGUCCCUUGUGAAGUAACGCAUAAACUAGGGUUUAAGCUUCUGUCACUCUAGCAACCCAUUAAUACGUCUCCAACGUAUCUACAAUUUAUGAAGUAUUCAUGCCAUGUUUACAAUAGUUUUAUAUGAUUUUGAUAUGAUUUGUUUAGAACUAACCCAGACUGAUGCUGUUUUCAGCAGAACUACCGUGGUGUUGUUUUUGUGCAGAAAUAAAAGUUCUCGGAAUGGCACUGAAAAUCGACGGAGAUUUUUUUGGGAAAAUAUAAAAAAUAGUGGAACAAAAAUCUACCGGAGGGGAGUCCCAUGGGCUCCACGAGGGUGGGGUGGACUCCCUGUGGGGCCCCUUGACUUGUCCUUGACGCCAACCUCUUCUAUAAAUACCCAAACCUCUAGAAAAUAACCUAGAUCAGAAGUUCCGCCGUCGCAAGCCUUCGUAGCCACGAGAAAUCAAUCUAGGCCCUCUCUGGCACCCUGCCGGAGGGGGCCAUCAUCACCGGAGGCCAUGGGGGAGGAUCUCGGAGGGGGCCAUCAUCACCAUGAAGGCCAAGGACCAGAGGGGGAACCUCUCCCCAUCCAGGGGGGAGGCCAUGGAGGAGGAAUCACAAGGGGAGAACUUCUCCUCCUCUCUCUUGGUGGCGUCGGAGUGCCAUAGGGAGGGGAAUCAUCGUCGUGGUGAUUGUCUUCAUCAACGUCAUCAUCAUCAUCACCAUCCUCAUCUCUUUUAUGCGGUCCACUCUCCCACAACCCGCUGUAAUCCCUACUUGAACAUGGUGCUUUAUGCCACAUAUUAUAAUCCAAUGUGCCAUCUUAUGAUGUUUUGAGUAGAUAUCCUUUGUCUUUGGGUUGAUUGAUGAUCUAGAUUGGUAUGAGUUGUAUGAUUUAUUUGGGUGCUGUCCUAUUGUGCCCUCUGUGUCACGCAAGCAUGAGGGAUUCCCGUUGUAGGGUGUUGCAAUAUUUCCAUGGUUUACUUAUUGUCUGCGUUGCUUGAGUGACAGAAGCAUAAACACGGAUAAGUGGGUCACAGCGUAUGGGAAUAAAGGGGACUUGAUAUGUUAAUGCUAUGGUUGGGGUUUACCUUAAUGAUCAUUAGUAGUUGUGGAUGCUUGCUAGAGUUCCAAUCAUAAGUGCAUAUGAUCCAAGAAGGGAAAGUUUGUUAGCUUAUGCCUCUCCCUCAUAUGAAAUUGCAAUAGUGAUUACCGGUCUUGUUAACAAUUGCCUAGGAUAAUUCCGCACACCGACCCAUCAUUAUUCCACACUCGCUAUUUAUAAUAUUUAGUAAUAUAUUCUAAAUUUAUGAUAACAGCACCUACUUUUAUAUUUUAGCUCUUCGAUAUCAUACAAAGUUAUCCUCUUCAUACCCACAACAUAGUUUUAUUUCUCGUUUCUAGUUGGAAGCAAACGUUCGGUGUACGUAGAGUCGUAUCAGUGGCAGAUAGGACUUGAGAGAAUAUUGAUCUUGCCUUUAGCUCCUUGUAAGUUCGACACUCCAUGCUUAGCACUUCCACCUUUGGAAAUUGCUAUGAUGAUUCCCUGCACUUGGGGAUUAUCAAGCUCUUUUCCGGCGCCGUUGUCGGGGAGCAAUAGCGUGGGAUUGAUAUUCUCGUGUGUGCUUGUUUGCUUUCUUCACUAAGUAUUUUUUGUUUUCCCUUUUUGAUUUGCUUAGUUGUGGGUGAAACAUACAAAAAAAUCAAAAAAUAAAAAUACAAAAAGAUGCACUUGCCUCAUAUGCCUAAAAAGUUUUUCAAGAAGAGAAGUGAUUGGAAAGUUAUGGAUUGGAGAAGUGAGGGUCGACCUUGAGCACUUGUGUUCAUGCUCAUGGAAACAAUGUAUAAUUUUUCAUGGAAGUUUAUCUGUAAAUAAUUAUCCCCUUGUAUAUAUCCUUUCUAUUAUAAAAAUAAUGUGCCAAGCUUUGGUUUUAGGAUGAUUAGAUUGCUUGUUUACUAUGUGCAGUACAAAAACAGAAACUUUGGCUGUAGCGCAUGAAUUUACAUUUUUUACUGGAAAGUCAAAUGGGUCUGAAACUUUUUACACAUUACUUCUGUACAAAUUUUUUAAAUUUCAUAUUUUAUUUAGAAUUUUUGGAGUUACAUAAGUUUACUAAAUUUCCGAAUUACUAUAGACUGUCCUGUUUUUUACAGAUUCUGUUUUCUAUGUGUUGUUCGCUUAUUUUGAUGAAUCCAUGGGUUGUAUCGGGGGGUAUGAACCAUGGUGAAGUUGGAAUACAGUAGAUAAAGUGUUAAUAUUAAAUUUAAUGAGUUUGCAACAGUACCUAAAGGUAGUGAUUUGCUUUAUUAUACUAACGGAUCUCACAAAGUUUUCGUUAAGUUUGGUGUGGAUGAAGUGUUCGAAGAACGAGGAGUUACCGAUGUGAGAAGAAUAAAGAGAGGCAAGAGUUCAAUCUUGGGGAUUCCCAAGGCACACCAAGUAAAUACUUCAAGGAUACUCAAGCAUCUAAGCUUGGGGAUGCCCCUGUUGGCAUCCCAUCUUUCUUCUUCAACAAUUAUUGGUAUACCUCGGUUUUUGUUUUGUUCACAUGAUUUGUGUCCCUUGUGUUUUUCUUUUUCUUUAGGAAGCAUGCUAGUAUGAGAUAGCCCUUCAUUGAUUUAUAGAAUGCUUCAUGUGCUUCACUUAUAUCUUUUGAGUAUGGUUUUACAGAAUGCUUCGUGUGCUUCACUUAUAUAUUUUGAGCUUGGAUAUUGGUUAGUCUAUACUAAUUGUAGAAUGCUCCAUGAUGUUCACUUAUAUAUUUUGGAGUAUGAAUAAUGAUAUCAUCUAAAGUGGGUUUGGAAGAGUGUCAACUUUAGGAAUUAGUGAUCCCACUAUUUUGGAGGGUGUUGAAUCUUAGUGUGAUAUUUAUGAAAGUGGGUUUGGAAGAGUGUCAGCUUUAGUUAGUAAUGAUUCCACUAUUUCGGAAGAGGUUCCAAUUAAUUAUGAGAACAAAGUUGCUAUCUAUGAUGAUUAAUGUGAUGACAUGUAUGCUAUAAAGAAUAAUGUUAACCAUGAAACUUGUCAUCAUGAUUUUAAUUUUCAAUUGGAUUAUGCCUCACAUGACGGUUAUUUCGUUGAGUUUGCUCCCACUAUUCCGAAUGAGAAGAAUUUUUGCUUAUGUGGAGAGUAGUAAAAUUUCUAUGCUUGUAGAUCACGAAAAUAAUGCUUUAUGUGAUGGUUAUAAUUCAUGAUGCUACUGAAAAUUAUUAUGAGGGAGGAAUAUAUGCUUGUAGGAGUUGCAAUAAUAUCAAGUUUCCUCUCUAUGAGCUUAAAGUUUCGAAGUUAUACUUGUUUUGCCUUCCAGUGCUAGUUGAUUCUUGUUCCCUUAAAUUGUGUGCUCACGAAAUCCCUAGGCAUAGGAAGUGGGUUAGGUUUAAAUUUUCUAGUCAUAUUCUUCAUGAUGCUCUCUUUAUGUUUCAAGUCUUAUCUUUUAUGUGAGCAUCAUUGAAAUCAUCAUGCCUAGCUAAAAGGAAUUAAAGAAAAGCGCUUGUUGGAAGACAACACAAUAUUUACUUUAAUGUUUUUGUGUGUCCACAUGAUUAAGCUAAUGUAGUAAUCGUAUUUUAUAGCUUUUAUUUCAAUAAAGUGCCAAGUAAGACCUUUGGGAAGACUUGGGUGAAAGUUAAUGUGAUCUUGCUGUAAAAAACAGAAACUUUGCGCUCACGAGAUUAGCUGUCAUAUUUUAUAGAAGAGUGCUUUUUAGUUGAUUCUUUUUGCAGAAGACUGAUAGACAAAUUCCUCACGGCCAACAAUUUAUUUCAGAAUUUUUCGAGCAGCAGAAGUAUGGUUGUUGUUCAGAUCAUUACAGACUGUUCUGUUUCUGAAAGAUUCUGCUUUUAAUGCAUAGUUUGCUUGUUUUCUAGUUUCUAUGGCUUAUAUUGCUCAAUAUAAGUUGUAGAAAUGAUAUGGUACAGUAGGCAUUGUGUGAGAACAAUUAUGAAUCUUGUCUUCGACGGUACCAAAGUGAAUGAUUUACUCUUUAUCAUACUAACCCAUCUCACGAAGUUCCGUUAAGUUUUGUGUGAUUGAAGUUUUCAAGUUGUGAGUGAGAUAUCGAUAUGAGGAGAAUAAGGAGUGGAAAGACCCUAAUCUUGGGGAUGCCCAAGUCACACCAAGGUAAUAUUCAAGGAAGACUCAAGCGCCUAAGCUUGGGGAUGCCCCGGAAGGCAUCCCCUCUUUCGUCUUCAAAACUAUCGGUAUACCUUACUUUGAGCUAUAUUUUUAUUCGUCACAUGAUAUGUGUUUUUCUUGGAGAGUAUUUUCAAUUUUACUUGAUGUUUGAAUAAAAUCAUUGGAUCUGAAAUCUUGAAUUAAAAAUAAUCCUCCCAUGGCUAGUUAAUUAUUUGACUACUCAGUGUUCUUCACUUAUAUCUUUCUGGAGUAGUUUGUCAUUUACUACGUGCUUCACGUAUAUCCUAAGAGUAAAUGGUUGAAUGAAUUGAAUAUCAUAAAUCUGAAUUUAUAUAUAUGUUUCAUGUGCUUAUAACAUGGGGAGUAAUGACUUCACACAUAAUAAGUAUAGGUAGUAAACUUAUUGGAAAUUAGCAAACGCAAAAUUGAUCACUUGAACAAUUAAUGAAAGAAUAUUGAAGGAAGACAGAUUUCCCAUAUAAAUAUACUAUCUUGGACAUCUUUUGUAAUUGUGAGCACUCAUUAAAAUAUGUCAUGCUAAAAAGUUGAUGUUGGACGAGACAACUUAAUGGGUUAUGUUUUCCUAUAUCUGAAACAUUAUAUUAUCUUGGAUCAUCCAACAUGUUGAGCUUGCCUCUCCCUCUCAUGCUAGCCAAAUUCUUUGCACCAAGUAGAGAUACUACUAGUGCUUCCAAACAUCCCUUAAACCAGUUUUGCCAUGGGAGUCCACCAUACCUACAUAUGGAUUGAGUAAGAUCCUUCAAGUAAGUUGUCGUCGACGCAUGCAAUAAAAAUUGCUCCUUAAAUAUGUAUGAUCUAUUAGUGCGAAGAAAGUAAGCUUUAUACGAACUUGUGAUAGGGAAGAAAUAAAAGCGACAGACUGCAUAAUAAAGGUCUUUAUCACAAGCGGCAAUAUAAAGUGACAUUCUUUUGCAUUAAGAUUUUGUGCAUCCAACCAUAAAAGAGCAUGACAACCUAUGCUUCCCUCUGCGAAGGGCCUAUCUUUUACUUUUAUCUUCUACCUUUAUACAAGAGUCAUGGUGAUCAUCACCUUUCCUUUUUACACUUUUUUCCUUUGGCAAGCACUUUGUGUUGGAGCGAUCCGGAUAUAUAUAUCCACUUGGAUGUAGGUUUUCAUAAAUUAUUAUUGUUGACAUUACCCUUGAGGUAAAAGGUUGGGAGGCGAAACUAUAAGCCCCUAUCUUUCUCUAUGUUCGAUUGAAACUUUGAAACCAUAAAUAUCACAUGAGUGUUAGCAAUUGUGAAAGAUUAAAUGAUAGUUGAGUAUGUGGAGUUUGUUGAACCAAAGCUCUUACAUAGACCCUUCCCAAAAAUAAGAUGAAUUGCAAUUGUUUGAUGACUAAGUGCAUGGUUUGUUAGUUCUCCAUAAAGUUUAUGAUCUAUACUUUAACUUGUGAAUAGCUUGUUACUUGAUCAUGAAAAGUUCUAUGAGUUGAGCUACUGUUAUGAUAUAUAAUGAUGCUAGGAAAGGUGAUUGAAACUAUCAUUGAUCAAACUUAAGCGCUUGCUAGCAUUCACACUUCAUAAAUUAUUUCUUUAUCAUUUACCUACACGAGGACGAGCAGGAAUUGACCUUGGGGAUGUUGAUACGUCUCCAACGUAUCUAUAAUUUAUGAAGUAUUCAUGCCAUGUUUACAAUAGUUUUAUAUGAUUUUGAUAUGAUUUGAUUAGAACUAACCCGGACUAACGCUGUUUUCAGCAGAACUACCGUGGUGUUGUUUUUGUGCAGAAAUAUAAGUUCUCGGAAUGCGCUGAAAAUCAACAGAGAUUUUUUUGGAAAAAUAUAAAAAAUACUGGAACAAAAAUCUACUGGAGGGGAAUCCUAUGGGCUCCACGAGGGUGGGGGCACGCCCACCUCCUGGGGCGCGCCCCUAUGCCAUGUGGACUCCCUGUGGGGCCCCUUGACUUGUCCUCGACGCCAAUCUCUUCUAUAAAUACCCAAACCUCUAGAAAAUAACCUAGAUCGGAAGUUCCGCCGCCGCAAGCCUCUGUAGCCACGAGAAAUCAAUCUAGGCCCUCUCUAGCACCCAGCCGGAGGGGGCCAUCAUCACUGAAGGCCAUGGGGAAGGAUCCCGGAGGGGGCCAUCAUCACCAUGAAGGCCAAGGGACAGAGGGGGAACCUCUCCGCAUCCAGGGGGGAGGCCAUGGAGGAGAAAGCACAAGGGGAGAACUUCUCCUCCUCUCUCUCGGUGGCGCUGGAGUGCCAUCUGGAGGGGAAUCAACGCCAUGGUGAUCGUCUUCAUCAACAUCACCAUCAUCAUCACCAUCCUCAUCUCUUUUACGCGGUCCACUCUCCCGCACCCCGGUGUAAUCCCUACUUGAACAGGGUGCUUUAUGCCACAUAUUGUGAUCUAAUGAUGUGUCGCCAUCUUAUGAUGUUUUGAGUAGAUAUCCUUUGUCUUUGGGUUGAUUGAUGAUCUAGAUUGGUAUGAGUUGUACGAUUUAUUGUGGUGUUGUCCUAUUGUGCCCACCGUGUCACACAAGCGUGAGGGAUUCCCACUGUAGGGUGUUGCAAUAUGUCCAUGGUUUACUUAUUGUCUGCAUUGCUUGAGUGACAGAAGCAUAAACACAGAUAAUUGGGUCACGGCGUAUGGGAAUAAAGGGGACUUGAUAUGUUAAUCCUAUGGUUGGGUUUUACCUUAAUGAUCUUUAGUAGUUGUGGAUGCUUGCUAGAGUUCCAAUCAUAAGUGCAUAUGAUCCAAGAAGAGAAAGUAUGUUAGCUUAUGCCUCUCCCUCAUAUGAAAUUGCAACAGUGAUUACCGGUCUUGUUAACAAUUGCCUAGGAUAAUUCCGCACGCCGACCCAUCAUUAUUCCACACUCGCUAUUUAUAAUAUUUAGUAAUAUAUUCUAAAUUUAUGAUAAAAACACCUACUUUUAUAUUUUAGCUCUUCAAUAUCAUACAAAGUUAUCCUCUUCAUACCCACAAAGUAGUUUAUUUCUCGUUUCUAGUUGGAAGCAAACGUUCGGUGUACGUAGAGUCGUAUUAGUGGUAGAUAGGACUUGAGAGAAUAUUGAUCUUGCCUUUAGCUCCUUGUGGGUUCGACACUCCAUGCUUAUCACUUCCACCUUUGGAAAUUGCUACGAUGAUUCCCUGCACUUGGUGAUUAUCACCCAUCAUCUAAUAACUACUCCACAAUGCAUUCCCUUAGGCCCAAAGAUGGUGAAGUGCCAUGUAGUCGACGUUCACAUGACACCACUAAGGGAACCACAACAUACAUAUAAUCAAAAUAUCGAACACAUAUCAAGUUCACAUGAUUACUUGCAACAUGACUUCUCCCAUGACCUCAAUCACAAAUGAUAAUCACGCUCAAGAUCAGAGGGGUAUUAAAUAGCAUAAUGGAUCUGAACAUAUAAUCUUCCACCAAAUAAACCAUAUAGUAAUCAACUACAAGAUGCAUGUAAUCGACACUACUAGUUACCCACAGGUACCAAUCUGAGGUUCUGGUACAAAGAUUGAACACAAGAGAUGAACUUGUAUUUGAGAGGAGAUAGUGUUGUUGAAGAUGUUGAUGAAGAUUGCCCUCCCAAAGAUGAGAGGGUUGUUCGUGAUGACGAUGGCUUCAAUUUCCCCCUCCGGGAGGGAAGUUCCCCCGGCGGAAUCGCUCCGCCGAAGGGCAAAAGUGCUCCUGCCCAAGUUCCACCUCGAGACGGCGGCACUCCAUCCCGGACGUCCUGUCCUUAUUUUUUUUUCUAGGUCAAAAUGACCUAUAUACCAGAAGAUGGGCACCGGAGGUGGGCUGGGCUGACCACAACCCACCAGGGCGUGUGGGGGGCCUGGAGCGCCCUAGUGUCUUGUGGUCACCAGGUGGCCCCCCUCUAGUAGUUAUUUGCUCCAGUAUUUUUAUAUAUAUUCCAAAAUAAUUCUCCGUAAAAUUUUAGCUCAUUUGGAGGUGUGCAGAAUAGGUAUCUCUGAUGUAGCUUUCUCAGGUCCAGAAUUCCAGCUGCCGGUAUUCUCCCUCUUUGUGUAAACCUUGCAUAUUAUAACAGAAAAGGCAUUAGAAUUACUCCAUAAAGCAUUAGUAUGCAUAAAAACAUUAUAAAUAACAGUAGGAAAACAUGAUGCAAAAUGGACGUGUCAACAACCUGGAGCAACAUUAUUGUACCAUAUCUUAGCAUCACCCUUUAAUGAGAAAGGGAAUAACUUGAGGAUAUAGUAAUAGCAAAUUUUCUCAUCGUGAGCAAAUAGGGUGGCUAUUUCAUUUAAUUUACUAAGAUGUGCCACAACAGUUUCAGAUUCAUAGCCAUGGAAAGGAUCAGAUUCAACCAAAGUGAUUAACUCUGGGUCGACAGAGUAUUCAUAAUCCUUAUCAGUAACAAACAUAGGUGAAGUAGCAAACUUAGGAUCACAUUUCAUUCUAGAAUUCAAAGAUUUUUCUUUCAGUUUGCAUAGUAAUUUCUUAAGAUCGUCUCUAUCAUUGCAAGAAAGAAAGUCUCUAGCUAUCUCCUCAUCCAUAAGAUAACCCUCUGGUAUCUUAGGCAUUUCAAAUCUAGGAGAGCUAGGUCUAAUAGGUAUUUCAUAGUCAUCAGUUUCAAGGACUUCAUCAGUUUCAGCAAUUUCAUUCUCUUUAAUUCUAACAAGUUGUUCAUCAAGAAAUUCACCUAGUGGCACAUUAUCAUCAGGCAAGGUACUAGUAUCAUCAUAAGCAUCAUUCAUAGCAGAAGUAGCAUCGUCAAUGACUUGCGACAUAUCAAGAUUAAUAGCAUGUGCUGGUGUUGCAAGUCUACUCAAAACAGACGGUGAAUCAAGUGCAGAGUGUGAUGGCUAAUCCUUACCUCCCCUCGUCUUAAAGAAAACGAUCUUGGUUUUUGUAUCCUUCAAAUUCUUCAUAGUGAUAAAUAGAUAAUAAUCCCAAGUGACUCUACAAAUAUAGUAUGCUCCCUGGCAACGGUGCCAGAAAAACGUCUUGAUAACCCACAAGUAUAGGGGAUCGCAACAGUUUUCGAGGGUAGAGUAUUCAACCCAAAUUUAUUGAUUCGAAACAAGGGGAGCCAAAGAAUAUUCUCAAGUAUUAGCAAUUGAGUUGUCAAUUCAACCACACCUGAAAGACUUAAUAUCUGCAGCAAAGUAUUUAGUAGCAAAGUAGUAUGGAAGUAACGGUAACGGUGGCAAAAGUAAUAGUAGCAGUUUUUGUAGCAAUCGUAACAAUGGCAAUGGAAAAGUAACUAAGCAAAGAUCAAUAUGUGAAAAGCUCGUAGGCAAUGGAUCAAUGAUGGAUAAUUAUGUCGGAUGUGAUUCCUCAUGCAAGAGUUAUAACAUAGGGUGACGCAGAACUAGCUCCAGUUCAUCAAUGUAAUGUAGGCAUGUAUUCCGAAUAUAGUCAUACCUGCUUAUGGAAAAGAACUUGCAUGACAUCUUUUGUCCUACCCUCCCGUGGCAGCGGGGUCCUAUUGGAAACUAAGGGAUAUUAAGGCCUCCUUUUAAUAGAGUACCGGACCAAAGCAUUAACACUUAGUGAAUACAUGAACUCCUCAAACUACGGUCAUCACCGGGAGUGGUCCCGAUUAUUGUCACUUCGGGGUUGCCGGAUCAUAACACAUAGUAUGUGACUAUUGACUUGCAAGAUAGGAUCAAGAACUCACAUUUAUUCAUGAAAACAUAAUAGGUUCAGAUCUGAAAUCAUGGCACUCGGGCCCUAGUGACAAGAAUUAAGCAUAGCAAAGUCAUAGCAACAUCAAUCUUAGAACAUAAUGGAUACUAGGGAUCAAACCCUAACAAAACUAACUCUAUUACAUGGUAAAUCUCAUCCAACCCAUCACCGUCCAGCAAGCCUAUGAUGGAAUUACUCACGCACGGCGGUGAGCAUCAUAAAAUUAGUGAUGGAGGAUGGUUGAUGAUGACGACGGCGACGGAUUCCCCUCUUCGGAGCCCCGAACGGACUCCAGAUCUGCCCUCCCGAGAGAGAUUAGGGCUUGGAGGCGGCUCCGUAUCGUAAAACGCAAUGAAUCCUUCUCUCUGAUUUUUUUCUCCCCGAACGUGAAUAUAUGGAGUUAGAGUUGAGGUCGGUGGAGCUCCAGGGGGCCCACGAGAUAGGAGGGCAUGCCCAGGGGGUAGGGCGCGCCCCCCACCCUUGUGGCCAGGGUGUGGGCCCCCUUCGGUUGAUUCUUUCGCCAAUAUUUUUUAUUAAUUCCAAAAACUGGCUUCGUGAAGUUCCAGGUCAUUCCGAGAACUUUUAUUUCUACACAAAAAUAACACCAUGGCAAUUUUGGUGAAAACAGCAUCAGUCCAGGUUAGUUCCAUUCAAAUCAUGCAAUUUAGAGUCCAAAACAAGGGGAAAAGUGUUUGGAACAGUAGAUACAUUGGAGACGUAUCAAGAACCGGAACAAGGCAUUAACACAUAGUGAAUAUAUGAACUCCUAAAACUACGGUUAUCACCGGAAAGUAUCCCAAUUACUGUCACACUGGGGUUUACGGAUCAUAACACGUAAUAGGUGAAUAUGACUUGCAAGAUCGGAUCUAGAACAUAGAUAUAAUGGUGAAAACAUAAACGGUUCAGAUCUGAAAUCAUGGCACUCAGGCCCUAGCGACAAGCAAUAAGCAUAGGAAAGUCAUGGCAACAUCAAUCUCAGAACACAGUGGAUACUAGGGAUCAAGCCCUAACAAAACUAACUCGAUUACAUGACGAAUCUCAUCCAACUCCUCAUCGACCAGCGAGCCUACGAAGAAAUUACUCACUCCCGGUGGGGAGCAUCAUGGAAUUGGUGAUGAAGGAGGGUUGGUGAUGACGAAGACCGAAGAUUCCCCUCUCCGGAGCCCUAAACGGGCUCUAGGUCUGGCCUUCUGAUGAAGUACAGGAGGUGGUGGUGGCUCUGUAUCAUAAAAUAGGUAUUUAUGGAGUUGGAGUUAGGGCCAGGGGCACGAGGGCCCCACAACCCACCAGGGCACACUUGGAGGGGGUCGCGCGCCCUGGUUUCUUGUGGUCAGCCAGCCCCCCGCCCCCCACCACCACCUUCGGUUGUUCUUGGUUCCAGUAUUUUUUAUUUAUGAAAUAAUUCUCCAAAAAGUUUCAUCCAAAUCCGAAAACUUUUAUUUCUGCACAAAAACAACACCAUGGUAGUUUUGCUGAAAACAACUUUAGUUCGGGUUAGUUUCAUUCAAAUCAAGCAAAUUAGAGUCCAAAACAAGAGCAAAAGCAUGAGGAAAAGUAGAUACGACGGAGAUGUAUCACCUGGCUUUGAAUCAUGUUGUGCAUGUUAGCAUCGAGCCCCCUGUGAAAAGUUGGUGGCAUUUGAAUCCACUGAUAGUGGCAGAAGGUUUCUAGGCUAUGCGAAAAAGGUAAGUGGGCAGUGCAAUUAGUUGUUUUAGUGAUUUUGUGAUGCUCUGCAAUUAGGAUGUUAAAAGUAUAAUGCUCUAGCCAUAAUUCUUGAUAUAACAAUAGUACCAAAUGCAUAAGUAGCCGGUGCAGUUUAUGAGUUGUUAGUUUUUUAUGUUCUGGCCAUUAGUCUAGAUAUGAAAGUAUUUGUCUAUGGCCAUAACUCUUCUUUAUUAGUAUUUUAGCUCUAUAUUAUUUAUCAUUAGUAGCCAAUGCAGUAGUAAGAAAUGCAGUCUUCUUUUUGCUUUAUUUUUCAUUACUGUUGUUGAAUAUUUUUGUCAGUAAUGUUGCCGCCGGGAUGAUGAAUAUGGCCACCGGUGGUGAUUUCCCCCUUCGGCAGGGUGCCGGAACAGGGUCUAGAUUGGUUUUUGUGGCUACAGAGGCUUGCGGCAGCGCAACUUCUGAUCUAGGGUAACUUUCGGGGGUUUCUGAAUAUAUAGGAUUUUUUGGCAUCGGUUUCACACAAAGAUGGGCCUUAGGGGGCCCACUACCCACCAUGUGCGCCAGGGGGGUGGCGCGCCCUGGUGCCUUGUGGGCAGGAGGGGGCCCCCUCCGGUGAUUCUUUGCUCCAGUAUUUUUCUUUUCUUCCAAAAAAUCGUCAAAAAGUUUUGUCCAAUUCCAAGAACUUUUAUUUCUGCACAAAAAACAACACCACGGUAGUUCUGCUGAAAACAGCGUCACUCCGGGUUAGUUCCAUUCAAAUCAUACCAAAACCAUAUAAAAUUGUUGUAAACAUGGCAUGAAUACUUCAUAAAUUAUAGAUACGUUGGAGACGUAUCGCAUCCCCAAGCUUAAUUCCUACUCGUCCUCGGGUAGGUAAAUGAUAAUGAAAUAAUUUAUGAAGUGUGAAGCUAGCAUAGUGCAUAAGUUUGAUCAAUGAUAAUUUCAAUCACUUCUCCUAGCAUCAUAACAGCAACUCUUUCUCAUAAAACUCAUCAUGAUAAAGUAGAAACCAAUUCACAUGUUAUGGUUCAAACAAUGAAUUCUCUUGAAACUUAACAACCUAUGUUCUAAGUCACCAAGCAAUUGCAAUUCAACUUAUUCAACAAAGUCUAAGUAAGAGCUCCAUAUACUCAAUCAUAAUAUAGUCUUCUCUGAUUGCUAUACUCAAAGCAUAUUUUUAGAACAAAUGGCAUCCAUCGAACAUAGAGAAAUAUAGGGGCUUAAUGCUUUGCCUCCCAACUCAUUUACCAUAGAGAUAAUUGUCAACAAUAAUAAUUCAUGAUCAAAUAUAUUUGACUGGUUGUAUGUGCCUAGAUCUUUCCCCACCACAUGAUGCUUGCCAACUAGAGAAUAGUUGAGGUUGAAAUGAGAAUGCAUACUAUUGAAUCUUGCAUAAAAGUAAAUACUGAAAAGUAAAAGAUAGGCCCCUUCGCAGAGGGAAGCAGAGGUUGUCAUGCGCUUUUAUUUUUUGAUGCACAGUCUCUUAAUGCAAAAGAAUAUCAUGUUAUAUUGCCCCUUAUGAUAGCAACCUUUAUUAUCUAGUCCAUCGCUUUUAUUACUUUGCCAUCACAAGUUUGUAUAACGCUUAUUUUCCCUUACAAUAAAAUAUCAAACAUAUUUAGGAGCUAUUUUUAUUGCUUUAUGCACCGAUGAGAACUUACUUGAAGGAUCUUUUUGUAUCCAUAGGUAGGUAUGGUGGACACUCAUGGCAAGAAACUGAGGAUUUUUUGAUGCACAAGUAGUAUCUCUACUUAGUACGAAUUUUUGGCUAGCAAAAGAUUCUAAGCAAACACCACAUGUUGGAGGAUCCAUAACAAUAUAACUUAUAUGCAAAUAUACACAACCAUAACUCAUUAUGCUGUCUUCCUUUCAACUAAUUUGCUCAAGUUUGAAAAUAACUAAUGUGUAUUCACAAUCAUAGAAGAUUUUCAAGAUAAUAAAUUUGUAUGUGAAAGUUCUCUUCCUUAUACAAAUCAUUCAUGAAUUGUUUGUAUGACCAAUAUUGUGAUUGUCGAGCUUCAAAAGAUUUCACUUUCUAAACCCAAUGUGAAUCCACUACUAGGCAUGAUAUGAACAUAUAUUUUCAACUUCAUGAUAUUCAAUUCACUCAACAAUUUACUCAUAGGAUAUAAGUGAAGCACAAGAGUAAAUAACAAACUACUCCAAAAAUAUAUAAGUGAAGAUCAAGUGAGUAGUUAAGUAAAUGGGUAGCUAUUUGAGGAUUAUCUCUUAUUUAAAAACUUUCAGAUCUAAGUAUUUUAUUAAAACAGCAAGCCAAAAAAAUGACAUUCCAAGAAUAGCACACAUCAUGUGAAGAAGCAAAAACUUAGGCUCAACCGAUACUAACCGAUAAUGUUGAUAAAGAAAGGUGGGAUGCCUACCGGGGCAUCCCCAAGCUUAGAUGCUUGAGACUUGUUGAAAUAUUAUCUUGGGAUGCCUUGGGCAUCCCCAAGCUUGAGCUUUUGUGUCUCCUUACUUCCUUUUAUAUCAUGGUUUACCUAAAUCUUAAAAACUUCUUCCACACAAAACUCAACAAGAACUCGUGAGAUAAGUUAGUAUAAAUCAAUGUAAUAACCUUACCAUCCUAUACUUUAGCAAAUCACUAAAAUUAUUAUUUCACAUUGCGUAGUAAAUUCCUAUACAUAUUUAAUACUCCUAUCCUCAAAUAGAAUCAUUAAACAAGCAAACAUAUACAAACAAUGCAAACAUAACAUCAAUCCGUCUAAACAUGACAGUCUGUAAAGAAUGCAAGAAGAUUCAUACUUCUCUAACUCUAAAGAUUAUGAAAAAUUUCCAUACUGUAGAACAUUUAUCAUAUCUUAUUUUGCAAAAAAACUUCAUCAUUUUAUCACAUUCCAACUUUUCCCAAGAAUUCACGCACUAGCGUGAAACUUCCUGUUUUCAAACAGUCACAUAUAGACUUGCAAAAUAAGCAUGGUAAAGGCUAUACUUGACAUUUUUAUGGAAAUAAAAGGUGAAAAAAUUUAUCUAAAUAACAUCAAGCAAAUCCUAGCAAAAUAAAAUGACGCCAAGCAAAACACAUAUCAUGUGAUGAAUGAAAAUAUAGGUUACCAAUAAUGUUGAAGACGAAAGAGGGGAUGCCUUCCGGGGCAUCCCCAAGCUUAGUUGCUUGGGUCUUCCUUGAAUAUUACCUUGGGGUGCCUUGGGCAUCCCCAAGCUUAGGGUCUUGGAACUCCUUAUUCUCCUCAUAUCGAUAUCUCACCCAAAACUUGAAAACUUCAAUCACACAAAACUUAUCGGAACUUCGUGAGAUAGGUUAGUGUGAUACAGACAAAUCAUUCACUUUGGUACUAUCAAAGACAAGGUUCAUAAUUGUUCUCACACAAUUCCUACUGUAGCUUAUCAUUUCCACAAUUUAUAUUGAGCAAUAUAAGCCAUCAAAACUAGAAAACAAGCAAACUAUGCAUUGAAAACAAAAUCUGUCAAAAACAGAAUAGUCUAUAAUGAUUUGAACAAUGACCAUACCUCUGUGAAUCCAAAAAAUUUGAAACAUUAGGAAAACGUAAGCAAUUUUUAUAUCAAUCAUAUGUAAAAAAAAUCAGAAUUUUAUCAUUCUCUAGUGAAUUUUAACAAUUCUGUUACUGGGCGCAAAAGUUUCUGUUUUUGCACAGAAUCAAGUCAACUAUCAUCCAUCCUAUUCCAAAGGCUUUACUUGGCACUUUUUUGAAACAAAAUCUAUAAAUCAUGAUUACUAUAGUAUCUUAAUCAUGUGAACACACAAAAAGAGUAGGGGUAAAUAUUAGGUUGUCUCCCAACAAGCGCUUUUCUUUAAUGCCUUUUUAGCUAGGCAUGAUGAUUCCAAUGAUGCUCACAUAAAAGUAAAGAUUUGAAACAUAACAGGAGCAUCAUGAAGAAUAUGACUAGCACAUUCAAGUCUAACCCACUUCUUAUCAUAGGCAUUUUGUGAGCAAACAAUUUAUGGGAGCAAGAAUCAACUAGCAAAGGAAGGCAAAAUAAGCAUAACUUCAAGAUUUUCAACACAUAGAGAGGAAACUUGAUAUUAUUGCAAUACCUAAAAGCAUAUGUUCCUCUCUCAUAGUAAUUUUCAGUAGCAUCAUGAAAGAAUUCAACAAUAUAUCUAUCACAUAAAGCAUUCUUUUCUUGAUCCACAUGCAUACAAAAUGUAUUACUCUCCACAUAAGCAAAUUUGUUCUCAUUCAUAAUAGUAGGAGUAUCAUAUGAAACUCGAAUACUAUAAAUUGUUUCCACAUUAAAAGAGUAAUGUUCAUAAAAAGGCUAUUCAUAAUUAUGACAAGUUUUAAAAAUAUAAUCAUCACUACUUUUUAUAACAUAAGUAUCAUCACAAUAAUCAUCAUAAGUAGCAAUUUUGUUCUCAUUAUGGUCAAUUGAAACCUCUUCUGGUAUAGUGGAAUCAUUACUAAAUAAAGUCAUGACAUCUCCAAAUCCACUUUUAUCAUUAUAAUAAUAUUCAACACCCUUCAAAAUAGUGGGAUGAAUAUUAUAUAAAGUUGACACUCUUCCAACCCCACUUUCAUAAAUAUUGCAAUCAUCAGAAAUAGGAGGCAUGCAAUCAUCAUAAAAAAUUGAUCAUUAAAAGUAGGGGGACUAAAAAGAUCAUCUUCAUUAAGCAUAGCAUCCCCAAUCUUGGUACAAACAUUAAUUGCAGAAAAUAAAUUCUCAAACAUGUCAUUUCAUCAAAUAUAGCAUCCCCAAGCUUGUGGCUUGGCAUAUCAUAAGCAUAAUCACGCUCAUCAUUAAUAUUAUGAAUAGCACAAAUGUAUAACAAUUAUUAUCAUCAUAAUUUUCCAAGUUGGUGCCAAAAAUAUUUUCAAGAUUAUAAGAAUUAUGAUUAUCUCCCCAAUCAUAAUCAUCACAACAAGCAAUAGGCAUAACAAAAUCAUCAUCAAUAGUUCUUUCAGACAUUGUGCCAUAAGACAAAGAAGCAAUAUCAUAAUCAAGUGCAUCAUCUUCCAUAAUUAUAUUGAUUCAUUUUCAUGAGGCUCAAAAAUAAUAGGAGCAACAUUAUUUGGGAGAGAUACGUUUUACCUCUACUCUUUAUUCUUUUCUUCUUCUUCACAACAUCAUGUGUGAGUUUAAUUAAUCUUUCAGAGCUUCUUAUUGAUGAGAUUGGUUGAAUAGGAAGCUCCUUCUCGUCACCUAUUUCAUCAUGGGACAUAAUAGGAGGGAAAGUAGAAUUUUUUACCCUUUCAUUAGUAUUCCUUUUAUACUCUAUUGGUUUUCCCAUCUUUCUAUAGUUGGCAAUAUAAGCAUUCUCAUUGCAAUUUACCAAGGAAAACAUAUAGAUAUGUUUUAGAUUAGUUUCAAUGUCAUUUGUGAGAAUGAAUAUUUCGAACCAACUAUUUUUAUGUGUUAAUUCUUCACUCCCCAAAAAUAGAGAAAGCUCAUUAUAAAGUUCAAGGGUGAUCAAGUCAUUACAAUAUUUAGCCAUAAUUCGAUCAUGAAAAAGAUUGCAUUGGAAAUUAAGAUGACCAACCUUAUUGCAAAGUUCACAAGUAAUAAUUCAGAGAGAACAUAAUUUUGUAGCAAAUUAAUCUAUCACUUUGAGCAAAAAAUUUGGUUCUAUCAUGUUUAUGCUUCAUACAAAAUCUAUCAUCCCUUUAAGGCACGUCUACACAAACUUUAUGCACUACACAAAAAUUGACAUGCUUAUAAGAAACAUUUUUAUCAUGACUAGUGAAAUCAUCAUUAGUAUUUUGGAUAUACGGAGAGUUAAUACUAACAACAUUGCAAUCAUGCUCGUCAUUUAUGCCAAACAUUUUAUUGAAUUCUUCUUCUAUCAAUUGAACACAAUUUUCCUUUCCAUCAUUUUCAAGAAAGACAUGAUAAAGACGAAUAAUAUGAGGCAACAUCAAUUCCAUUUUUUUUUGUGGUUUUCUUUCACAAACUAAACUAGUGAUAAAGCAAGAAACUAAAAGAUUCAAUUGCAAGAUCUAAAGAUGUACCUUCAAGCACUCACCUCCCCGGCAAUGGCGCCAAAAAAGAGCUUGAUCUCUACUAUGCAACUUUAUUCUUGUAGACUCGUGUUGGGCCUCCAAGCGCAGAGUUUUGUAGGAUAAUAGCAAUUUUCCCUCAAGUGGAUGACCUAAGGUUUAUCGAUCCGUGGGAGGCAUGGAAGAAGAUUUUCUCCCUCAAACAACCCUACAACCAAAUAAUAAAAAGUCUCUUGUGUCCCCAACACACCAAAUAAAAUGGUAAAUUGUAUAGGUGCACUAGUUCGGUGAAGAGAUGGUGAUACAAGUGUAGUAAUGACAGUAGAUAUUGAUUUUUGUAAUAAGAACAAUAAAAAACAGCAAGGUAGCAACUAACAAAAGUGAGCGCAAACGGUAUUGCAAUGUUUGAAAAUGAGGCCUAGGGUCCGUAAUUUCGCUAGUGCAAUCUCUCAACAAUGCUAAUAUAAUUGGAUCAUAUAACCAUCCCUCAACGUGCGAUGAACAAUCACUCAAAAGUUCCUAUCUAGCAGAGAACAUAAGACGAAAUUGUUUUUAGGGUACGAAACCACCUCAAAGUUAUCCUUUCCAAUCGAUCUAUCCAAGAGUUCAUACUAAAAUAACACCAAGUUAUCCAUUUCGAUCGAUCUAUUUAAGAGUUCGUACUAAAAUAACACCAUAUGAUACACAUCAACCAACUCUAGUGUCACUUAGAUACUCCAAUGUCACCACGAGUAUCUAUGAGUUGAUUAUACGAUAUGCAUCAAACAAUUUCAGACUCAUAAUACUCAAUCCAACACAAAGAACCUUAAAGAGUGCCCCAAGAUUUCUACCGGAGAAACAAAGACGAGAACAUGCAUCAACCCCUAUGCAUAGAUUACCCCAAUGCCACCUCAGGAAUCCACGAGUUGAGUGUGAAAACACAUAUCAAGUGAAUCAAUAUGAUACCCCAUUGUCACCACAAGACUUCAUAGCAAGACAUACAUCAAGUGCUCUCAAAUCCAUAAAAGUAUUCAAUCUGAUAAUAACGAAAUCUCAAAGGGAAAACUCAAUUCAUCACAACAAGAUAGAGAGGGAGAAACACCAUAUGAUCCAACUAUAUUAACAAAGAUCGCGAUACAUCAAGAUCACGCCAAAUCAAGAACACGAGAGAGAGAGAGAGAGAGAGAGAGAGAGAGAGAGAUUAAACACAUAGGUACUAGACAAACCCUCAGCCCCGAGGGUGGACUACUCCCUCCUCAUCAUGGUGGCUGCCGGGAUGAUGAAGAUGACCACCGGUGAUGAUUUCCCCCUCCGGCAGGGUGCCGGAACAGGGUCUAGAUUGGUUUUUCGUGGCUAUAGAGGCUUGCGGGGCAGAACUUCUGAUCUAGGGUAACUUUCAGGGGUUUCUGAAUAUAUAGGAUUUUUUGGCAUCGGUUUCAUGCGAUGAUGGGCCUUGGGGGGCACUACCCACCAAGGAGCGCCCUGGUGCCUUGUGCGCAGCGGGCGGCCCCCUCUAGUGGUUCUUUCCUCCAGUAUUUUUUUCUUCCAAAAAAUUGUCAAAAAGUUUCGUCCAAUUCUGAGAACUUCUAUUUCUACACAAAAAACAACACCAAGGUAGUUCUGCUGAAAACAGCGUCAGUCCGGGGUAGUUCCAUUCAAAUCAUACCAAAACCAUAUAAAAUUGUUGUAAACAUGGCAUGAAUGCUUCAUAAAUUAUAGAUACUUUGGAGACAUAUCAACAAGGAGCAUGCAAUUGCCCAGUUAGGCAAUGCACAACUAGCUCUUAGUGACCUGAAGUAAGAGCUUGAGAAAAAGAACUUGGCUGACAAAGCAGACACUAACAUCCAUUGGGUGCUAAGGGCCAAUGAGAGAAAGAUAUAGACCAAGAGAAGCAAGAUAAGGUGAAGCUGGUGCAGGAGAUGGAGCAGAUCAAGUAGGAGAGGGACAAGUUGUUGGAGGAGCGGGAGAAUUUGAAGCAAUAGAAAUGGCACCCGGAGUACAUCAUAGGUGAUCUGUUCAAAGAGAAGGAGGCCACCAAGGGGAAGAUCAGGAAGAUCAAGGAGAUAGUUGAUGAAUGAUUUAAUGUUGUUGUAGUACUAUCUGCUAUUUGUAGCAUUAAAAUUGGAAGACAUUUGUACUGAAAUUGUUCUUGUGCUGAAUUUAAUUGUGUUACUGGAUUAUUCUAUUAAUGUGCCUUAUUUGUGUUUGAUGUAUUUGUGUCUUAUUUGUGUUUGAUGUAUUUGUGUCUUAUUUGUGUUUGAUUAAAGUGCUAUAUUCUACCAUAUGAGACAUGCUGUGAAUAGUUGAAUUAUGCCACCCAAAAUGUUUCUUUAGUCAAGCCUCAUAGGGUUUAUAUGGUUGGAUUGUUGUCGAAGGGUUGACGAUCCCUAUUUUGGGCUUGGUAGGUUGGGUUGUUGUCGAGGGGUCGAUGACCCCUAUGUUGGGGUAGGGUAGGUUGGGUUGUUGUCAAGGGUUCGGUGAUCCCUAUUUUGGGCUUGGUAGGUUGGGUUUUGUCGAGGGGUCGAUGACCCUUAUGUUGGGGUAGGGUACCUUGGGUUGUUGUCGAAGGGUCGACGAUCCCUAUUUUUGGUUUGGUAAGUUGGGUUGUUGUCGAGGGGUUGAUGCCCCCAAUGUUGGGGUAGGGUAGGUUGGCUUGUUGUUCAAGGGUCGACGAUCCCUAUUUUUGGUUUGGUAGGUUGGGUUGUUGUCGAGGGGUUGAUGAACCCUAUGUUGGGGUAGGGUAGGUUGGGUUGUUGUCGAAGGGUCGAUGAUCCCUAUUUUUGGUUUGGUAGGUUGGGUUGUUGUCGAGGGGUCGAUGACCCCUAUGUUGGGGUAGGAUAGGUUGGGUUGUUGUCGAAGGGUCGAUGACCCCUAAUUUAGGGUAGGGUAGGUUGAUGGCCCCUAUUUUUCAGCUUCUAGGCUUUAUCAUAAAUGACAACACUGAUCCAACAUAUGGCAACAUAUACACAAUAAUCGGCUAGGGUGAGCAGCAUUUAGGCUUCAUCAUAAAUGACAACACUGAGCCAACAUAGGUUCACAUGACUUAAAUUCUACAUAGGUUGACAGGACUCAAAUUCUACAUACUUUCAAAGGACUGAAAUCAAACACAGGUUCACACUACUAAAAUCAAACAGGUUCUCAGGACAGAUACAUUGGUGGCAAUCCCAAAAGUUUCAACCAUUUCUAGACAUCAAAUUUCACACAUUUCACUUGCUCUGAAGUAACUAUUCAGUCUUGCAUAUUCUGAGCUUUCUUCCUUGUACCUGUUCCAGCAAUUGCUCCUCCACCAACUCUGUGACGCCCCCGAUUCAAUCAUACACUAAUCAUACACGAAAAUGUGUAUGAUGAAGAUCAGGGACUCACAGGAAGAUAUCACAACACAACUCUAGACACAAAUCAAAAUAGUACAAGCUUUAUAUUACAAGCCAGGGGCCUCGAGGGCUCAAAUACAUAGCUCGACACAAGAGGUAGCAGAAGCAACAAUAUCUAAGUACAGACAUAAGUUAAACAAGACUGCCUUAAGAAGGCUAGCACAAAAGCAACACGAUCGAUGAGGCAAGGCCUCUUGCCUGGGACCUCCUAACUACUCCUGGUCGUCGGCGGUCUUCACGUAGCAGCAUCCAUCGGUAGUGGCAUCUGUCUCCAGGGAUCCAUCAUCUGGUUGCAUCAACCGGAAAGAAGAAAGAAGGGCGAAAAGGGGUAGCAAAGCAACCGUGAGUACUCAUCCAAAGUACUCGCAAGCAUCAGAUCUAUACUAUGUAUGCACUCGUAUCAAAUGGAAGGUUUGUAACUGUGGACUGAACUGCAGAAAACCAGAAUAGAGGGAAGGCCUAGCCUAUCAAAGACUAGCAUCUUCAAGCAGCUCCAAGCAUCUUGCAGCAAGUAGAAGAGUACAAAAUAGUAGUUUAUAUUUAACAAGCAUGUUGUAACAUUAAUGCCCAGAGAUCCUUCCUCGACUCCCUGCGAGAAAGCAAUCCCGGAGCCACAUAUCCAUCACAUAUCAAGUAUCCAUUUCUAAUUGUAUAAGAUCAGGAUACAAGUCUGAACAUCCAUUACCAUGGACAUGAUAUUCGAAUAUAUAUCUUCCCUACAGGGGUGCACCACGUUACCCAACACGCUUGAUCACUCUGGCCGGACACACCUUGUUGGGGUCAAUGCCAGGCCUCGGAAGAUUAACACGUCGUGGCCCUACCUAGGCCCAGCAGAGAGGUCCCCUCGGCCUACAUCCUAAGCACUCCGGGGUCUGGGACCAUCGCCCAUUGCACUCCGGAUCGUUGCGCGUAGGGCGGGUCCAAGUUCCACCUCUACAUGGAUGGUGCCGGCCCAGCCGUGCUGCACUGCUGAACUGGACGUCUGACAAAGCUUCGGCUGAUACCACGAUGUCGAAGCCCAUAUCUAUUCUCGCAUGGUGGUUAGUGCGUAAAGGCUAGAGGCCAACUCAGAACAAAUACCCAAACCUGUUAGUACAUUGGGGGCUCGCGGAAACGAGCAGAGACUCAUGAUAAUGUGACCCCGUCGCCCCGUCUCGUGUACUUGCGGCAAGGGCCCAGACUGCCCGGCCAUGCCACGUGGAAAACUCGCGGCUGCUCUACGGGCCCGCCCAACUUUCACAUCAACUCGCGGGUACCCCUCAGGGCCGACCCGACUUCAACAAUGGUCUCAAGUAAGUCAAGGUAACCAUGUGUCCAAACAUCAAGGGGAAAACCCAAGGAAUCAUCCACGGAGGAUUCCACUCGAUGUAAUCAUCAAGGUGAAUGUAAGAGGGACCACCCUCGAGGUCAACACUUGAGGUGUUGAACGACAGAGCCGUAUCGGGAAUGGUGAAAGAGGAAAUCACCCUCGAUGACCAUGACCGAAUAGAUACACUAUAUAAUUAUCAUCAGGAGUGCGUGAUGAGGGAUCACCCUCGGCACUCGAUAGUAGCUUUGCAGAGUCGAGCAACAAAAGGGGCGUGAUGUGAUGUGAGGUGUCAGGCUCCGGUCAUCGAUCACGCUGAUCAAGUCGUCGAUGAUUAAGCAGGGGAAACAAGGACAAGUACUGCGGCUCACUGAUGGAUCACUUACCAACCUAUACUAAAUAGUUAGGAUAAGCAGGUAAGGUACAACAACAGGUUACAAAAGCAGGCUAUGCAUCAGAAUAGGAGCAAUCAAUAACAGUAGCAAAAUCUAUUGCAAGCAUGAGAGUAUAGAAUGGGCGAUAUCGGGAUGAUCAAAGGGGGGGCUUGCCUGGAAGCUCUGCUGAAAGGGAAGGAGUGUCGUCGUCGACGUAGUUGAUCACAGGGGCAGCAUGAGUCUCGGGGUCUACCAGAGAGAAGAGGGGGAAGAAACAAUAAAUAUAAAGCAAAUGAAGCAUCAUAAAGCAUAACAUGGCAAUAUGACGUGCCGGGUGUGACCUAACGUAUGGCUACAUGAUAAAGGUGAAGGGGAAAAUCAACCGGGAAUGUAUUCCCGGUUCGGGACCUGUGUCAGACAGAUGACCAGAGGGGGAAUGCUCCAUGUUCAGAUAGUUAGAGGCAUCUGGCAGGUAAAGGGACCGCGUAUUCGGAUUCAUCUCGUUUUUCUUAGCAACUUUCAUGUAGAAAACAUUUUCAUCCGAGUUACGGAUUAUUUACUACGAAUUUCUAAAGGUUUAAACAUUUUCUGGAAUUAAAUAAAUUAUCAGAAAAGAAAUACUACGUCAGCAUGACAUCACUGUGACGUCAGCAGUCAACAUGACGGCUGACUAGGUCAAGCUGACCAGUGGGUCCCACCUAUCAUAGACAAUGGACUAAUAGAAGUUUAAAACUAACUAAACAGAGUUAUUUAGCAGGUAGGCCCCACCGGUCAUAUACUAAUUAGCUUAACUAAUUAGUUUUAGUUAUUAAAACAUUUUAAUUAGCGGAAUAAGCGGUGGGGCCCGCACGUCAGUGGCUGGGGCCUGCCCAGUCAGCACAGUUGACCAGGUCAACUGGUCAACAAGGGGCCAGGGGCCCCACUGGCAAUGACCCAGGGGGUGGGCCUGGCCGUGCCACAUCAGCGCUGUCGCUGGAGCAACACCGGCGAGGUGAAACGCGGCGGCGCGACCACGGGGUUCAUCGGAAAAAGGCUACACGGCACGGGGAAGAGCGCGGCUAGGCGCGUUCGAACGGCCACACGAUCGCGCGUCGAAUGGUGGUGACCGGAGCGGCUGGUGUGGCCGGAGCUGGGUGCUAUGGUGUCGCCGGCGGCGACGCGCACGGGCGAUAUACAACGAAGGCGAUGCGGUGCAUUCGUGAGCGAGUUGAGAGGCUGGGCAAGGCAUAUGCGUUGCGGCGAGGCCAACGGUCGCGAGCCCGUGACCAUUUGUUCACCGAAAGCACGACGGCGACGAGCGGGGAUGGCGACGCGUUCGGGCGCUCGUCGAGGUAGGUGCUAAGGGGCACGGGGAGGGAAGUAAGUGGCACGGGCGGCUUCAGUGAGCGGUCCUGAGCACUCUCGUGUGCUCGGGUGAGCAUGACGAUGCCCACCGCGACGGCGGCGAGCUCUGCGGCGGAGCUGCGUUCGGGCGGUGAUGGCAGCGGCGGCUACGGUGAUGGAUCCGUGCGGGGGAGCGAGGGGAGAGACGCGGUGGCUCACCGGGAGCCGUAGGGAAGUGGCAGCGUGCUCGGGGAGGCUUGUUAGAGGCGUACGAUGGUGGUGAUCGGCGACGCAGGCGAAGAUGACCGUAAGGGAAGAAUAGGUUGUCGGGCUCGCUGCGGUGGCUCCCUUCUCACUUCGCUUGGUGCAGAGGGAGUAGCCGAGGACGGCGCGUCAUUGUGGCACGGUGAGGUGGCGGAGUGGUGACGGUGGCCGCGGGAUCGAGCGGGGGACGGCGGCGAGUGCUUCGGCCUCCUCUCCAAAACAAAGGAGAGGGAGAUGGAGAGGGAGAGCCGGGGGGAAGGAGAAGCAGGAGUGGCGGUAGGUGAGGGGGAGGACUCAAGGCGUCGCCCUUAUCCCCUCGGGGCGGCGCCGGCGAGUUGGUCGGACCGGAAUGGCUCGGGCAGGUGCCCGGACGGCUGUACGGGAGAGGGAGGCGACCGGUGGGGGGGAGUGGGCUGGAUGGGCUGGCUCGGGUGGGCCGAAGCCCAGGGGGGUUAGUUCCAGAGGGGAAGGGGUAGGGCUGGAAAAAAAACCUCGAAGCUCGCGAGCUAAACAAGUAGCUCGUGACUCGGCUCGAAUCGACUCGAAGUCGAAAAAUAACGAGUUGAGUCGAGCUUUAGUUUAAGAUUGUUUAUAGACCAAGUUAAAUGAGCCAAUCUCACAAGUACUCGUGUAACUCGUUAGGCCAAAUAUAAAAGAUCGGCCACUCCAAAUCCAUAAAAGAAAGAUCUGCCACUCAGCACCCUGCGUCCCAGGCACACAACACAAGACCCAGCCGCCCAGGAGACUCAUGCGUUACAAGGAAAUUACAAUUGUUAGUGAUAUAUAUGUUUAAUAUAUACAUAAUCAUUUUUAUCUUAUUUUUGGGUUUUAUGUUUAUAUCUUUAACGAGCUUAACAAGCUAAACGAGCCAGCUCGCGAGUUAUACGAGUCGAGCCAAUCUUGGGUUUGAGCUCGUUAUAGUAACGAGUCGAGUAGAGCUAGCUCGUUAACGAAACGAGCUCUAGCGAGUCGGGCCAAGCUAGCUCGACUCGGCUCGAAUUCCAGCGCUAGGCAGGGGCAUAUUUUUUCCUUUUUAACUCGUUUUGCAUUUUCUUUUAGCCACAAAUGACUUUGCAAAAAUAUUCCACUAGCCAAAACAAUUUCAAAGAAAUCUUUUGCACUUCCACAAAAAGUUUGGGGCCUUCAAGAGUCGUCCAAGCAUUUUUAGAAAAUGAAAAGGACAUCUUAAAUACUGCUGGACCAGAUAAUAAAUUCUCAGGUUUGGGAAUCCAAAAGAGGUUGGUUCCAACAUGACAAAUAACGAGAGAUUAUGUGCCACACUUUGAACAUUUUAGUUUGCAUGUUUGAGAAAUUUGAAUUUUGGACUUUAAUUUGAAUUUGAAUUUGAAUUACGAUUUGGGUCAAGUGAGGAUUAGCAACAGUAAUAUGAUGACAUGGCACCAUUAGCUGGGGAUUACUGUAGCUUAAUUAUCUAGGCGUUACAAAUCUCCUCCACUACAAGAAAUCUCAUCCCGAGAUUUAUGGGGUGAAGUAAGGGGGAAAGACUCAAGAAGGACGAAGCUCAACACAAGAUAGGUACGUGGGGGCUAUUUCAGUGAGCAUGGUAUAGAGGCAUCUCUCGAGUUGAAAAUCAAGAAAGUCAUCGAGAGCAAGGCUAGAAGGUGCAAUAAGAAGCUUCAAGCAGAUGGACAAUCGUUCGAUGUCUGAAACAGAGUGUGAAAGGGAUUCAGAGCAUCGAGUAUAAGCAUUGCAUCUGAUACCAGAACAGAUCACAAGAAGGUGGCUCAUGAAUUACAUAUGAAGCCAAGCGCGAGGAACAAUUUUGGGAAACAGGGAUGUACAGGAGAGUCAGGUUUUGAUCCUGUGGAACUGUGGGUUUUGGGCUCACCAUGUGGAACAAAAAUUAGGAAGGGUGAUGCCAUCUUGCAUGAUCUUGAUAGCAAGGUAUGUCAGACAAUAACCUGUCAGUUAUGUUGGCAAUAACAUUGGUACCAAGGGCGAGGGACAAAGAGAACCAUUUUCCUGCUCAUUAAGACGAGGCGGACCAAUAGGCAAAUUUCUCGUCCAUCGGUGGCUACCGGAAUGCCAUCAACAAUAGUAACAAGGUCUUACUGACAGAUUUUUACACCGAGGUAUCUACAUAAGCAGGGAAUUAUCACUGCUCAGAUAUGUUAGGUUACCAAGAAAGGUUAGACAAAACAAUGGAAAGGAAAGUGUAGACUCGAAUCAGUUAUCGAUGUUCUCGAGUGUCUAACAACUCAGAACCCAUGGGAAAUUUGAAUCGGAGAGAAAUAAUAUUUAAUGAAGAACUCAUAAUAAGUUAUGUAGUUCCAUGAUAUUCUCGAGAUACCAGAGGCUAAUACUCGAAGGUAGAACAUGAUAGAGGUUGGACAGGUGAAAAAGAUCUGUAGGGGACAAGUACUUCAACUUGUCCAAGAAAGGGGAUCAAAGAAGAGCAAUAUGGUCAGAACCACGGUUGUAACGGACCAAACAUAAAUACCGAAUGAACUUAUCACAGGGGAUUAUUAUUAUAACAAGAAGCUUCCAUGAUAGGUUCCACAUCGGGUCCAUGGGCAUGAACACAAAGGUUCAAGGUCGACUCCCACUUCUCUAAUGCACAACUUGCAUUGACUCCUCGCAAUCGAAGAAGUUGUAGCGUUGAAAUUUAACGUGGCGAAAAGUCGGUAGCGUAUAACCCGCAUAACUUUCGAGUUCACGCAGAUUUAGGGAAGACAUAGAUUCAACCCAAAGGGGCAUCUUAGGAUCAUAUACCACAAACUUCAAGAAUAAAUAACUCAAGCUCGGAAGCAGAGCAUUGUUGACAAGAGCGGGGGAUACAAUUUACCAAAGGCAUUAUGUAUCCGGGAAAGGCUCACAAGGUUAUUGAAUAUGAAGGAUGUUGUCAUAUAAAAUCCAAUAAAGGAUCUGGUGGUCCACGAGGGAUUUGAUGUGAGUAUCAAUACUCACCCAGAAGAAGAAAGAAUGCAAGGAUAUCAGACUAUAUAAACAAUUAACUAAUUCAAAGCUCAAAUGCAAAGGAAUUAUGAUUUCCAAAGCGGUGGACGGGAGCAGAGGCUCUCAUCAAAGACAAGUAAUUUGAAUAGACAUAGAUAACCAAUCAAUCAUGGCUUGAUUUGUCAAACACCAGCUCAUGUCCGGGAGUGAUGUCUGAGCCGAUGGGAACAAUUCUAAUUUUGAUUGAAGAUUGUGAGCAUUCACAAACACAUCAAAUCAAUUGCUCAAAAUUAUGAUGACAAAGGUUGCUAAAGAGCAUUGCUGGACAUAUGGAAGUAACCAUAGUGUAAGCAGGUAAGGAGGAACAAGAGUAAUAAGCUACUGAGGAGUUUCAGAAGAUCAAAUAGCAUUCCAAAGAAUUUUUUGAAAACACAUGAACAACUGUGGACAAACGGAUACUCGACAAGCGCGAGUAAUUAUCCGUAGGGGUAUUCAUGUGGCAAAGAGCUGCAAGGAAGUAGGCACAAGGUAUUCUCGGAAGAAAUAAGGAGAAAUUCAAUGUAUCUUGUAAUAACAAGAUCAACGAGGAAUGACUGUAUGAACGACAACGUAGGUAGUUACACCUAAGGAUUUAUCGGUGGUAGGGAUCGCAACGGCGAAGGGUACAAGGGUCUCGGGAAAACAUCGGAGAGUAUCUUCAGAAUCUUCCAAUGCACCAAGUAAUCAUCUAGAUUGAGGGGCUCUCCGGGAGAAAGUAUUUACGAGAACCUAGAGUUAUUAUUAGCAAAACCAUUUAACCCGAAUAGCAGAGAGAUCAGAUUCCCAGAGCAUAGACGAGAAAUAAAAGAUCCUAAUACCACCCAAUGGCGACGUGGGCCCGUAAGCCACACAGCCAUGUCAGUAAAUCAGUUUUUCAAAGACUAGACUCAACUUCAGCCAAGGAGUUGGAAAGGGGGUUCCUACAGGCAGUCGGCUCUAAUACCAACUUGUGACGCCCCCGAUUCAAUCGUACACUAAUCAUACACGCAAAUGUGUACGAUCAAGAUCAGGGACUCAUGGGAAGAUAUCACAACACAACUCUAGAUACAAAUCAAAAUAAUACAAGCAAGGGGCCUCGAGGGCUCGAAUACAUAGCUCGAUACACAAGAGGCAGAGAAAGCAACAAUAUCUGAGUACAGACAUAAGUUGAACAAGACUGCCUUAAGAAGGCUAGCACAAAAGCAACACGAUCGAAGAGGCAAGGCCUCCUAACUACUCCUGGUCGUCGGCGGUCUUCACGUAGCACCAUCCAUCGAUGGUGGCAUCUGGCUCUAGGGAUCCAUCAUAUGGUUGCAUCAACCGGAAAGAAGAAAGAAGGGGGAAAAGGGGUAGCAAAGCAACCGUGAGUACUCAUCCAAAGUACCCGCAAGCAUCAGAUCUAUACUACGUAUGCACUGGUAUCAAAUGGAAGGUUUGUAUCCGUGGACUGAACUGCAGAAAGCCAGAAUAGAGGGAAGGCCUAGCCUAUCGAAGACUAGCAUCUUCAAGCAGCUCAAAGCAUCUUGGAGCAAGUAGAAGAGUAAAGAAUAGCAAUUUAUAUUUAACAAGCAUGUUGUAACAUUAAUGCCUAGAGAUCCUUCCUCGACUCCCUGCGAGAAAGCAAUCCCGGAGCCACAUAUCCAUCACAUAUCAAGUAUCCAUUUCUAGUUGUAUAAGAUCAAGAUACAAGUCUGAACGUCCAUCCAUUACCGUGGACACGGUAUUCGAAUAUAUCUUCCCUGCAGGGGUGCACCACGUUACCCAACAUGCUCGACCACUCUGGCCGGACACACCUUGCUGGGGUCAAUGCCUGGCCUCGGAAGAUCAACACGUUGCAGCCCUACCUAGGCUCAGUAGAGAGGUCCCCGCCGGUCUACAUCCUAAGCACUCCAGGGUCUGGGCCCAUCGCCCAUUGCACUCAGGAUCGUUGCGCGCAGGGCAGGUCCAGGCUCCACCUCUACAUGGAUGGUACCGGCCCAACCGUGCCGCACUGCUGAACUGGACGUCUGACAAAGCUUCGGCUGAUACCACAAUGUCAAGGCCCAUAUCUAUUCUCGUGUGGUGGUUAGUGCGUAAAGGCCAGAGGCCAACUCAGAACAAAUACCCAAACCUAUUAGUGCAUUGGGGGCUCACGGAAACGAGCAGAGACUCACGAUAAUGUGACCCCAUCGCCCCGUUUCAUGGACUUACGGCAAGGGCCCAGACUGCCCGGCCGUGCCACGUGGAAAACUCGCGGGUGCUCUACGGGCCCGCCCGACUUUCACAUCAACUCGCGGGUACCCCUCAGGGCCGACCCGACUUCAACAAUGGUCUCAAGUAAGUCAAGGUAACCGUGUGUCCAAACAUCAAGGGGAAAACCUGAGGAAUCACCCACGGAGGAUUCCACUCGAUGUAAUCAUCAAGGUGAACGUAAGAGGGACCAUCCUCGAGGUCCACACUUGAGGUGUUGAACGACAGUGCCGUAUCAGGAAUGGUGAAAGAGGAAAUCACCCUCAAUGACCACGACCGAAUAGCUACACUACAGAAUUAUCAUCAGGAGUGCGUGAUGAGGGAUCACCCUCGGCACUCGAUAGUUGCUCUACAGAGUCGAGAAACAAAAGGGGUGUGAUGUGAUGUGAGGUGUCAAGCUCUGGUCGUCGAUCACGCUGAUCGAGUCGUCGAUGAUGAAGCAGGGGCAACAAGGACAAGUACUGGGGGUCACUGAUGGAUCACUAACCAACCUAUACUAAGCAGUUUAGGAUAAGCAGGUAAGGUACAACAACAGGUUACAAAAGCAGGCUAUGCAUCAGAAUAGGAGCAAUCAAUAACAGUAGCAAAAUCUAAUGCAAGCAUGAGAGUAUAGAAUGGGCGAUAUCGGGAUGAUCAAAGGGCUUGCUUGGAAGCUCUGCUGAAAGGGAAGGAGUGUCGUCGUCGACGUAGUUGAUCACAGGGGCAGCAUCAGUCUCGGGGUCUACCGGUGAGAAGAGGGGGAAUAAACAAUAAAUAUAAAAGCAAACAAAGAUCAUAAAGCAUAACAUGGCAAUAUGAUGUGCCGGGUGUGACCUAACAUAUGGCUACAUGAUAAAGGUGAAGGGGAAAAUCAACCGGGAAUGUAUUCCCGGUUCCGGACCUGUGUCAGACAGAUAACUGGAGGGGGAAAGUUCCAUGUUCACAUAGUUAGAGGCAUCUGCAGGUAAAUGGACCGCGUAUUCGGAUUCGUCUUGUUUUUCUGAGCAACUUUCAUGUAGAAAACAUUUUCAUCCGAGUUACGGAUUAUUUACUACGAAUUUCUAAAGGUUUAAACAUUUUCUGGAAUUAAGUAAAUUAUCAGAAAAGAAAUACUACGUCAGCAUGACAUCACUGUGACGUCAGCAGUCGAUAGGACGGCUGACCAGGUCAAACUGACCAGUGGGUCCCACCUGUCAUAGACAGUGGACUAAUAGAAGUUUAAAACUAACUAAACAGAGUUAUUUAGCAGGUAGGCCCCAUCGGUCAUAGACUAAUUAGCUAAACUAAUUAGUUUUAAUUAUUAAAACAUUUCAAUUAGCGGAAUAAGCGCUGGGGCCUGCACGUCUGUGGCUUGGGCCUGCCUAGUCAGCAUAGUUGACCAGGUCAAUUGGUCAACAGGGGGCCAGGGGCCCCACUAGCAGUGACCCAGGGGGUGGGCCUGGCCAUGCCAUGUCAGCACUGUCGCCGGAGCAACGCCGGCGAGGCGAAACGCAUGGGCGCGACCACGGGGUUCGUCGGAAAAAGGCUACAGGGCACGGGGAAGAGCGCGGCUAGGCGCGUUCGAACGGCCACUCGACCGCACGUCGAAUGGUGGCGGCCGGAGCGGCUGGUGUGGCCGGAGUUGGGAUCUACGACGUCACCGGCGGCGACGCGCUCGGGUGAGAUACGACGAAGGUGGUGCGGUGCAUUCGUGAGCGAGCUGAGAGGCUGGGCAAGGCGUACGUGUUGCGGCGAGGCCAACGGUCGCGAGCACCUGACAAUUUGGUCACCGAAAGCACGACGGCGACGAGCGGGGGCGGUGACACGUUCGGGUGCUCGUCGAGGUAGGUGCUAAGGAGCAUGGGGAGGGAAGCAAGUGGCACGGGCGGCUUCAGCGAGCGGUCCUGAGCACGCUCGUGUGCUCGGGUGAGCAUGACGAUGCCCACAAUGACGGCAGCGAGCUCUGCGGCGGAGCUGCGUUUGGGCGGUGAUGGCAGCGGCGGCUACGGUGAUGGAUCAGUGCGGGGGAGCGAGGGGAGAGACCCGGUGGCUCACCGGGAGCAGUAGGGAAGUGGUAGCAUGCUCGGGGAGGCUUGUCGGAGGCGUACGGCGGCGGCGAUCAGCAACGAAGGCGAAGACGACCGUAGGGGAAGAAGAGGUUGACGGGCUCGCUGCGGUGGCACCCUUCUCGCUCUGGUUUGUGCAGACGGAGUAGCCAUGGACGGCGCGUCGUUGUGGCACGGUGAGGCGGAGGAGAGGUGACGGUGGCCGCGGGAUCGAGCGGGGAACGGCAGCGAGCGCUUCGGCCUCCUCUCCAAAACGAAGGAGAGGAAGAGGGAGAGGGAGAGCCGGGGAAGGAGAAGCGGGAGUGGCGGUAGGUGAGGGGGAGGACUCGAGGCAUCGCCCUUAUCCCCUCGGGGCGGCGCCGGUGAGCUGGUCGGACCGGAACAGCUCGGGCGGGUGCCCGGUCGGCUGUACAGCAGAUAGAGGCGACCGGUGGGGGUGGGAGUGGGCUGGAUGGGCUGGCUCGGGUGGGCCGAAGCCCAGGAGGGUUAGUUCCAGAGGGGCAGGGGCAUAUUUUUCCUUUUUAACUAGUUUUGCAUUUUCUUUUAGCCACAAAUGACUUUGCAAAAACAUUCCACUGGCCAAAACAAUUUCAAAUAAAUCUUUUGCACUGCCACAAAAAGUUUGGGGCCUUCAGGAGUUGUCCAAGCAUUUUUAGAAAAUGAAAAGGACAUCUUAAAUACUGCUGGACCUGAUAAUAAAUUCUCAGGGGUAAUUUGGGAAUCCAAAAGAGGUUGGUUCCAACAUGACAAAUAACCAGAGAUUAUGUGCCACACUUUGAACAUUUUAGUUUGCAUGUUUGAGAAAUUUGAAUUUUGGACUUUAAUUUGAAUUUGAAUUUGAAUUAUCAUUUGGGUCAAAGGAUUAGCAACAGUAAUAUGAUGACAUGGCACCAUUAGCUGGGGAUUACUGUAGCUUAAUUAUCCGGGCGUUACAAACUCUUCCACCUCUCAGUGAUCUCAUUUUUGUAGCAACAGCAGAAGUAGAUGUAGAUGUAGAAGUACCAGCAGUAGAAGAACUCCCUUCUCCACCUGGAGGCCCUGGUGCUGAGAAAGCAGCCCUAGCUAACCUAGGAGCAGCAGUUGGUGCCCUUGGAGCAGCAUCUGCUACAGUAGCAUCAGGUGGAAUGUAGGUCUCUGCCUUUUGCCUUCUCUUUUCCUGCAGUUUAAGAAACAAAGACACAUUAAAAACUACAUAGUCAAAUUCCGAUAAAAUAAUAACAAAGCUCAAUAUGUUACCAUGUUUCUAUUCUUCCUCAACCGGACAUCAAACCUCAAAGGUUGUCCACAGUUAGUAAACCCAUGGCCCAUUAACUUACAAUUGCCACAUCUGAUUGUAGCCAUCCUAGAAGAAUCUUUUGGUUUAGGCACUUCAAACCUGCCCUUCUUCCUUUUCUUCUUAUUUUCGUCCACUCUCGUCCUCUUUAUGGAAAAUAGGAGGCUCGGUAUCAGGUUUUUAUGUCUUGACCCAAGCAUCUUCUCCUGGAACUGGAUACACUAUAGGUUUGUAUGUCUCCAAGUACAUUGCUUUCUUGAAGAAUGGACUGACAAAAUCCUCAGGUUGCAGCUUGGCUUUGUAAAUAGCACUGCAACCAUGAUUGCAUGGCAACCAUGACAUGCCCCACUUCCUGCAUCCACAAGUGUGCUCCAGAAGGUUGACAGCAUAUGUCUUUGGGCCACUGCUUAGUUGCCACAAGUUAGGUCCUGCCCUAAUUGCUUUACAAUCUCUAGUAAAUUUCUUGAUGAGCUCCAACUUCUCUGCAUAAGUUGGAGCUAUUUCCGAUAUAGCAGUUUCUCCACCUUCUCUCUUUCCAUCAAACCUGACCAGCAACUUGUCUUUGAUUCCAUUUAUCAUUGUCAAAACUGGUUUGUUUCUAACAUUCAUGAUAUAUUUAUUGAAGACCUCACUUAUGUUGUUAACCAUUAGGUAUGUUUUAUAGUUUGUGUCCAUUUCAUACCUAGCCCAUGUGUGUACUGGAAUGCCAGAUAACCACCUCCAGGCAUCCUCACACUCAUUCUUCAAAUUGGCCAUGGCAACAUCAAAACCAUGUUUUGUGUAGGAAUAACUAGCAUUGUCCAUGCAUUUUUUGAGAUCUUCACCUCUAAAUCCAGCUUUUUGGAAAUUUGCAUAAAUGUGCCUUAAACAAAUCUUUGUGGGCAGUUUGGAAAUACAGCAUUGAUAGCAUUAAGCAGGCCCUGCUUGCACAGUAAACCUAAAUGUUACUACUUUUGAUAUCCUAUAGCAAAUCAACACACAACAAAGAAACUAGGUUUGUACCAUACAUAGAAAUACGUAGUCAUAUGACAUUGGUACUACCUGGUAUUAAACUAUAACAUUUAGUUAUGUACACAAUAUUAAACUACAACACACAUCAAGUAACUAUCUUUCUACCAAAGCAAAGCAAUACAGUAAGUAGUCAUUUGACAUUGUUAUGUACACAAUAUUAAACUACAACAAAGAGAACAUAGAUCACUGACCUUCUGCCUAUCUGACAUGAUGGUGUGUUUGCCAAACUUGCCCUCUUUUGUGCCUCCCAAAGCAUAGUUUAGUUGGGUGAGAAACCAGCUCCAACUUGGUUGUCCUCCACUCCUACAAUUCCAAAGCAAUAUGAUACAUGUUGUUGUUGGCAUCCCUACCAGUAGCUGUUAGAAUUUGUGCUCCAGUUGUAAGCUUAAUGAAGCAACCAUACAAACCAAUGAAAGGCCUCAUCCAUUUAGAAAACUGUCCCUAGGUGCAUUGAGACAAAAGAGAAGACCAUGUAAUCUUGGACCUGGAUGUGGAUGUGGGUUUUCACUUGUGCGUUUUGGAGUGACAGUUGUCACAAUGCAUCUAGAGCCUGGAUUGCAUAAUUUAACAGUUUCAAUGUAAUCAGACAUCCUAUGAUACUGCUUCUUAUGAUCUCCUAGGACAAUUUCCUUUGCUCCCUUCUUAGCUCUCCAUGCCAUCAUCUUGGGAGCUUCAAUUCCAAAUUUCCUCUUUGCCAUGUUUACCAAUGCUGGCACAGUUGUGUUUGGGUCUGAUCUAAUUGUCUAUAGGAAAUUGUUCCCUAGCCACUUUGUUCUCACAUUACUAUGCUUGUCACUGGCUGGACAAGUGUGUUCUACUCUAAACUUCUUGAUACAGAAUGUUUUCUCAUACUUGAUCUGAGAAGCAACAAUGUAAAAAAGAACAUCCAUUUUCCUUGUGCUCACACCAGGCAAUAACCAUGUCUUUGCAGUUACUGUGAUAUCUGAAAGACCUCAGCUGCUUGAUAUGAAAGUUAACAAGAGCACUCCUAAAGUGGUAACAUCUUUGAAACAGAGCCUCAAACUGAAUUGAUGCUCUGGAUUGAGUUUGCUUUCAUCAUACCAAUUUCUUUCCUUUUUCUUCUUUGCUCUUGUUUUCCUUCCUAAGGGAAUAAUGACAGACAUAGUCUCAUUGCCAUCAUCAUGCUCCAAGUCUAAAAAACCAAGAUGUGCAUCUUCAUCAUCUGAAGGAAAUCAGUUAGGCUCAAUUGGAUCAUUUGCUGAUGAGUGUGAUCUUGUUGUUGGCCCUACUCUCUUUGCAAUCUUCAGCACAGGCUACUGCAAUACUCCAUCUUCACUAAAAUGUUGUUCUUCAUCUUCAUUUGCAGCUUGUUCAGUGUGGUAUUCCUCUUCCUACUCCUGAGGACCAUCAUAAACAUCCUCUGGUUCAGUGUCACCCUCACAAUGCACUGUUGCCUUCUUCUUCAUAUCUGCAAUAGUAGACUGCAGAUCAACACUAUAUUCACAACAGCUAUCAUAUGUAAUUUCUGUACCAGAUACAUACUCUCCACUAUCUGCACUUUCUGAAUCUAGUUCCAUGUCUGAAUAAUUGCCGCUAUAUUCUUUUUGAAUGUUUUGGUACUCAUCAAAAGCUUCUGGCUGGGGAGGAGGCAUUAUUUGGAUGGGCUCGUAAUUUACACUUUGCUGUGUGCCCAGGAGUAAGCACUCAUAUGUGCCUGACAAAGUUGAGCCAACAUAAUCACCAUAUUCCUUAUGGGCCACACCUUCUUCAUUUACUGCAAACACUACAAGAGGAUCAAUGUUGUAUUCAUCAGAUAUCUCUACUGGGGUUGCCUUUCUCUCGCCAUUCUUUGCUGGAGAGACAACAAUUUCUUGCUGCCUCUUGCCCUUAGUAACUGACAAUGUGACCCUCUUACUCACCUGGUAUUGCCUCAGCUUUUCAUCCACCUUAAUCUGAUUGUCCAGAAGUUUAAAACCAUCCAAUCCUAUCCCAUCACUAUUCAUGUAAAGCAUGCAGUCUGAAAAACUGUAGCCAUUCUCAAGCAACAUAGACAUAAGAUUGUAAUAUCUUAUGUAUUUCCUAAACAUCUUAGUCCUGAUGAAUUUUAUCCCUUCAAACUCAAUAUGAAUGCCCUACUCCUCAUAGUUCAACCUACAAUACCAAUUAAAAGUACAUGUAAAUAUAACCUAAAUUUGUAGAACACAUAUUAGAACCACACUCAGAAAAUAACUACAUUGUAGUUUGUCAUCUGUAAUUUAACGGUAAUCCUAAAUGAGAACUACAUUCAGAUGCUAUAUAAGCCCUAAUCUGCAGGUUGUCGUCUGUACACAAACCCUAAUCAGAACUACAUCCAGAGGCUUGAAACCCUAAAUCAUCCUAAAUGAUAACUACAUUCAGAGCGUAAAUCAAACCAUAAAACACAUGAAUUAAAUCAAAGAGAAUAACCACGGAGAGGUUGUAAGUUGGGGUCUCGUCGGCGGCGUUAGUAGGGAGGACUGGUGCAGCUGCCGGUGCCCGCACCGCCACCGUCGCACACGCCUUAUGCACACGGCACGGAGAUAACGGCUCAUCCCUAUCGGAUUGGCCUUCCACGCCUUCAUCUUCAACGAAUCUGGAGCCACCCGUUGCAGCGGGUGCCACUGCCGCCUCCGCACACGCCCUCUGCACGCAGCACGGCGAGAGCGGGUCGUUCUCAUCUAACGAAGACGAGACGACCCGAAGUCGACGCCAAGAAGGUUGCGCCCGUGACCCCGGCCGAAUCUGGAACCGCCGUCGCCACCACCCUCAACAUCGCCGAAGGGAGCGGUCGCCAUGGUUUCACGCGCAAGAUAGGAGAGGGAGGGGAACGAGAGUGAGGGGAAAUGAAGUGAGCGAGGCAGUGAGCUAAACAAGCGGUGGUAACGGCCGUCUGGCCUCGGCCGUUCGCCCUGGCCACGUGGUUCCGACGAGUGGGCCUGAAAUGUAAGAUUUUCACUUAGUCGUGGCUCACAACCCGUUUAAUGCAUUUUGUUAUUCACUUGCCGUAUAAGUAAUGGUCUUUCUGAUUUUUGACAUAAACGAUGGUGUUGCAACCCUAGACAUUGGUUUUCAGCAAUUUACUAGUAUUGCCCAUGCUAAAAGAUAGUGCAGUGGUGGCAGUGCUUCACGUGCAUGCUUCACUGGUCCAUGCGUGGUCGAGCUCGAAGGAGGUCUACACCGUAAUCUGCAGAUGAUUACGCUAAAGCGCUCUGAAAUACAGCUAUUUAUCUCAAAGUUUUCAUGGAAGGAAGCGUUAACCGGGCACGAAAGCGCAGGUACAGGUGCAGUGUAGGUACACGCGUGCACCUGCCAGUAAUCGAUCGAUGCGCCUCCCGUCUCUGCCACGUUUUCCGCUUUCCCGGUUUCCCUGCCGUUGCUUUGCCCGGUUCUCGAUGUCGUGGGAUAAGGAUGGAGACUGAGUAGGGGCCCGGCCGGGGCCAGGAUAUGCCAUGGAAUCUACCCACCCUGCUUCUUCCUUCCGGCAAGAGAGAACAACAAACGGCGGUGGCGGCCGCCGCUGGUUUCACGGUGCGACGGGCCCGGCCCGGCUCGCGCUUGCAGUAGUACAAUAUGAGCUAGGAACAUCUCCAGUCGAGGCCUUCGAAUCUUCAAAUAUUGAUGUACGAACAAAGAAGAGGCCAAAUUUACCCAGUUGGGUUGAAGAUGCUUUAGAAGAAUAAAAAUACAGCGGCUGUGAUUCUGUCUUGUGCAUAGUUCUCACUGCGGGAGAAAUUAAUCAUCGUUCCACAUUGUCGUUGGUUCUCUCUCGGGUUUCACGUUGACAACCUCUGUUAGAUUCUCUUCUUAGAUCACAUUUUACAUCAUUUUUCUUCCUAGAUCACAUUUUACACCAUUUUUGCUACCAGUUGUCUCGCAGACAUUAGAUUCAUCCAUCGCGAGGAGAGGGAGGGCAUCUGGGCAUGUGCGGCCAUGCGCGAAUGUUUCUCCUCUUAGCGUGCAUGCACGUUGAAUGAUACUAGAUGGCGAGUAAAAAAUAACAUCAGUUCGGUGACCCAGCCAAAUUGUAAAUCAGAUUUAUAAACUAGAAAACACAACACACCAACGACGGAUACAGAGCUGACGACAUGCAGUUCAUUGCACGGCCAUGAAACAUCUCUAGCCACGCAUUCACCACCGCAACUACUAAUUGAACAGCAAAUCCGACACAACGCGACACGACAGUACAAUAGCUCCUUGGAGCAGAUGAUAACUAACUAGCAGCUGCAGUACGACUAAGAUCACCGAGCAGCAAACUUAUUAAACACACCCAGCAGCUGGAUCUAGGGGUUGUAGUAGACGAUCUUGAUCUCGUCGACGCCGUGGCACUUGCCGCCGGGGACGGAGUGCUCGAAGCAGUGGCCACCGCUGUUGCAGCCGGCGGUGGGGCAGUGGUCUUUCAGGGGGUGGCCGUGGGGGGUGAUGGAGACACGGAUGGGCAUGUGCGACUGGUCGGUGCUCACCUGGUACCACGCCCCGCCGUCGUACCCGAUGUGGAACUCCGUCACCACGGCGUCCUGCACCUUCACGCGCCCCGUCCACGAGCACACGUCGUACGACACGUGGGUGCCGUGGCGGAGCAGGUGGCCAGGGCUGUAGAGCAGCUUGCUGUUGGCCAGCGGCUCGAUGCCGAGGUAAAGGUCCUUGCCGCACAGGUUCUGCACCGUAACCUUGCGGCUCGGCUUGCAGUUUUGGGGAUCCUGACCGGCGGCGGACAUGGCAGUCGCUGCCAGCGCCACGGCGAGGAGGAGAGCCGCCACGGGCUUGGAGAACGCCAU
This 61222-nucleotide long non-coding RNA is filed under the name Triticum aestivum (bread wheat). RNAcentral describes it as "long non-coding RNA (TAES_LNC006829)". Lineage: Eukaryota; Viridiplantae; Streptophyta; Magnoliopsida; Poales; Poaceae. The record is from RNAcentral.